This 55215-nucleotide long non-coding RNA is filed under the name Ananas comosus (pineapple). Its description in RNAcentral is "long non-coding RNA (ACOM_LNC024492)". Lineage: Eukaryota; Viridiplantae; Streptophyta; Magnoliopsida; Poales; Bromeliaceae. The record is from RNAcentral.
AUAUGACUUAGACAUCUAUAUGGUUCAGUAUUUUAUUAUGUUUAAUUAUUCAAGAUUUCAGUUGGUUUUCCGAAUGAGAUAAAGAUUUCUGGAUUUUUGUAAAAAGGAAAGGUUUUCUACCCUUCGUGGUAGCGUGUUUUCAAAAGAAAAGGUUUUCGUCUGGGAAACAGCUUUCAAAAGAGUUUUCUCGUGGUUUUCUUGACUUAGUAUUUCAAAAUAAGUUUUCGGGUAUGAAACGUUUUAAUUGAUAGUUGUGGAUUUAUAUUCAGAUCUCUGUUUAUGAACCUGUGGUGAAUGGUGUAUGGAUAUUGAAUGUAUGAUGACUUGUAUAUUCAUUUAGUUGUGGUUGUAUCCUGUUUUAUAUCUUGUACUUGUGCGACGCCAUGCAAAUACAGGGGAGACUCUGUUCGUGUGAACAGUAGAAUCUCUGUAUUUGUGGCGGAUCUGGCAUACCCUGAGGUCAUAUUUUCAAAAAAAAAAAAAUUCUAAUCACUUCCGCUAUAUUUUCAAACUAAAAGGGACCCCGGGGCAUGACACGCCGAGUUCUCUUUUGCUGGAUCUGAAGCUGGUUGGGUUCGUCUUGCGCUACCUUGGAAGCAUGCCGACGAGGUGCAACGUAGUCGUUGUAUCGCUAGGAGUAAUUAUCGGGAAGCCUCGCACGUGGAGAGGGCAAUUUCGCUUUUAGGACAGUGCUCUGCACGCCUCGAUCCACAGGCCUUAUCUAAACCUUUUUUUUACCGCCACUACAACAAAAUUGCUUUUUAGCGGCAAUUUAAUAGCGGUGAUUAUCAAACGGCCACUAUUACUAUUAUCUUACAGUACUUUAGCGGCAAUUGUUUUAAAAAAUAUAUUUUUAUCGACUAAUAUUUAUAUAUUAAAUAUAAUCUAACCCAAUCUCAACCCGAUUCCAACCCAACCCAACCUCAACCCUAUUCCAACCCAACCGCCUGAUUCGCUCGUGAGCGACCUAUUCUCUCUCUGCCCUUAACCUCUCUUCGAGCUCCGAUCUUCUCGGCCCCGACCUCUGAGCUCAGAGAAGACGCAAUUUAAUGGCGUCUUCUCCGAGCUCCGAUCCCAAUCUUCUCGGGCCCGAGUGCUUCAAGAAGAUCUGCCACCGACGGUGUCGCCCUCGGCCUCCACCUCCACGAGCGCGGCGGCGCUCCGACGACCUAGAUCACGGACCCCUAGAGCUUGCGCACGGUUAAGCUCGCGAUGAGGGCCACGGCGAGGAUCAGGAUCACCCACUUGACCAGAGCCCCGAAUCUCCACCGCUGAUGCCGAUUCGCCUUCGCGUUGAUCUACUGCUCCUUGUAGAUCUCCUCAUCCUCCUCUUCCUCGUCGUCCGCGUCAAGUAACGGCGUUUUGGGGGUGCCCAGGGAUGCCCUAGGGUUUGGGUAGGUCGAGCUCGGGGUCGGGGCCGCCGUGGAGGAGUGGGGAGGGUGAUCACCAAAGCGGGAUUUGGGCUUGGAGAUGGAUCUGCGGCGGAUUACGGUUUUGGGAUUGGGGGGUCACGAGGGGCUUUCUAGGGCUCGGCGCCUUGGCGAUCUCCGGGGAGGGGUUUCCGACGUGCGGGGGCGAUGAUUUCGGUGGCGAAUCCUCGAAACCUUUGACAUUAGCAGAAGAAGUCGGCGCCGACUUUGCUGCUGCUGCUGCUUCGCCGUUUUGGAUUACGACGACGACUUCGCCUUGCUUUCGAUCAAUGCUGUUGUCUUUGUGAGUAUCGUCGUCCAUGGCCAAUGAAAGAGACAAAAAAAAACCCAAAAAAAAAUAAUCCUUGAGAAGCGCUUCUGAGUAGUAGAUUUUUUAGAGAAGUGCUUCUACAUUUUGAUGAUCAGCUCCUUUUUUUACAGUGGCCAAUUUAUUCAGGACAUUCGAUCACAGUUGGAAAAUGACUUCAUGAAAUCACUGCAGGCUGAGGUUCUAUUUAAAUAUUGCUUGAUAAAUUAGUAGUAUUUACGUGCUCUUUUCUAACUUUCAGCCAUUCUAAUUGUUUACAGGUAACAGAUGAUUAUGAAGCGGAAGCUAUUAGACCAUUGUCAUGGUAUCCAGGGAACGUUGCGCGGCAUUUGAACUUUUCUCGUAUGCAACUUAGAAAGAACCAGGCACUUGAGAGGUAAUUUGUAACGUAUCGAAACCCGAAAACGAUAAUCGAACUUUAAUCAAAUUUGUUAAAGUGUCGAGAGAAACGGAUUGGUGAGUUCCAUUUUGCAUUCCAACAAGGUUGGAAGGACAAAAAUGAGUUUAAGAAGUGUUGGAAUGGUUUUGGCAUCGAAUGGCGCGAAGUUGAGUCGAAUCGAAGCCUAAAACAGCAUUCUGGAGCUGUUGUACCGGUACAAGGUGAUGGUUGUACCGGUACAACCAGCGCAAUUCGAGCUGAGUAGCUCUCGGGUUGGUGCAGUCCAGGCCUUGUACCGGUACAAGACCCCUUGUACCGGUACAGACCCUGCGCACCCGAGAGGCAGCUCUCUGGUUUGGCUCACUGUUUGGCCUUGUACCUGUACAAGAAUCCUUGUACCGGUACAAGAGGCCCCGGACAGCAUUUUGAAGUCUGAUGCAAAUAAGACUUUGUGGGGGGUUUGUUCGCAAUUGUUGCAACAUUUUAUGAGCCUAAGCCCUCUCCCUUUCACAGCACACUCUCAAACACACUCUCUCUCUCUUAUUUAUCUCUUUCUCUCUCUAGAAAAACCCUAGGGCUUGGUGGAGAAGGUGGAGAAGAAGAAGAAGAAGUUGGAUUUUGGAGGCUUGGAGGCUUUGGUGGCUCUCCAACAAGGUGGAUUUUGGUGAGCUCGUGGCUAAGGUGAGUUUAUUGCACAAGAGAGUCUAGGGUUUGGUUUUAAACCUUGGGAUUUAGAGUUUUGAUCCUCUAAUUAACCUAGAAAUCCUCUAAAGACCAUAACUCCAUGAAAAACAUGGAUUUCUUGGACCCCUCUCAUGGUGGAUCACUAGGGCUCAAAGUAGAUGCCCUAGGGAUGGUUCUAAAAGUUUAGAAACCUUAUUAGAGAGCUUCCCAAGUGAUUCUAAACUUUCUUUUGCUUAGCAAUGAGAUCAAUCUAGGAGAAAUGCAAAAAUGGCUCGUUAGGGCAUCCCAAAAAGGGGUUUUGCCCAAGUUGGGUUUUGAUCUAUUUUGAUCAUGCGGAAACCCAAUUGAGGGUAUUUUAAACGCGUUGGAAUGCUCGGUUCGACAAUCCGACGAGUGUAUGCAAAGUUAUUAACAAAAAUAUCAUUUUCCGUACAGAUAGCCGCAGCACGCGGAUUAGGGCUUCAAAAAUUCCAAGAAAUUCACCGAAGUAUCCUUGUAACCAUCUAAGGUGGGUGGUGCAUUCCAAGGACAUCGGAAAUCUCUCUAUGUCUAAGUGUCAUAUUUUGAGCAUAUGUGCAUUUUUGAGCAUCUUGCAUAAUAGGGUUAAUUGUGAGUUUUGCUAUAGCCUAAUGUAAAUUCAAAUGCAUGUUAAAUGUUUGUAAGAGUGUGAGAAUGAUGAUCCCUAUGUAUGCAUGAUUGUGACAAGAACCUAGAAGGGUUAGUAAACGAAAAGUGACACUUGACAUAGAUCUAGCAAGUGACAUCGACGAGUCUAGAAUCCUUAGUAAACAAGUGUGGCAUUUUGCAUGAGGACAAGAAUCUAGAACUUAGAGAACAAGUGUGGCAUGAGUUCAAGAACUCGAUAGUGUAUAUGACAUUAGAGAUAGUAAGGAAUGCAAGAACAAGAACGAUUGAGAUAUUUUGACAUUCAACCUUAGUGUUAAGGGUCAUUUGAGCAUAGUCUUCCUUAAAGUUAAGGAAUGGAUUGAACUUGGAAUCCUCAAAUGUAGGAUUGAUCGUACUCACUUUAGUCCUUGCUCGAGGUUGUGGUAGCUCCCCCUCGGGCGAUGUGCUCCGGAGUCGACAUCACUGGGUUGUAGCGGGUAUCUCCCCAGAGGACGGUCCCAUCGGGUUGUAGCGGGUAUCUCCCCGAUUAUUGGGAUUUUGAGUUGGUGAGUUUGUUGAGGGCGAAACCUACGGGUUAGCCAAGAGAUUGGGUAUUGACACUAUGACCUUGCAUUCAUCAUGAGCAUUAUAUUGUGCACAUCAUUUUAUAUUGUUCAGGCAUAUUAGUUGCAUUUGCUAGUUGGUUACUUACUUUCCUUUAUUCUAUUAUGCCUGAUUAGACCUAGUGGGAUAGUCGGCGUGGUUAGUUGUCGAACCCACUGGAAACUUUGUUGUAGUUCUCACACCCCUAUUUCCACAGAGCCGGGACCCAGCGAGCCGGCAGACAAUCACGGUAAGGGCAUCGCGUCCUAGGUAGAGACCGCCUGAGACAUUUAUCUAUUGUAGUUGCAUACCCCUUUUGUUAUAUGUCAUCUUUUGUACUUGAUGAUUUAGUUGUUAAAGAAAAGAACAUGUAUGUUGUGAAAGAUCUUUACAUUUAAAUACAAGAAUGAUAUUUUGAGAUCCUGUGAUGUAAAAGUAAAGAAAUGAUGAAAAAAUGUAAUCGAUCCCUUAAGUGUAGUUGUUUACUUUCACUCUUGGCUAUUGCUUGCCCUCGUGCAAGCCAUUGUGUAUGCUUUCGCUUAUGCAAUUUCUAUACUCUAUCUGUACCUGUUGUUGAGCCUUGGGCGGACAGGGGAGGCUCUGUCCGUUUGGCGUCUGUUUCACGCUCUCGAACCGGCCAUAAAGGAUCGGGCUCGGGGCGUGACAUAAUUGUUAUUGAGUAGACUAUUUUUAUGCCAAUUGAAGUACAGUACCACGAAAGGAAUUUACAAGAUUUUCUUUUAAUGCUUCAUUUGGACGAUAUGUAUUUUUAGUUGUACUGCUCUCUAUUCAUUUGGACUAAUGUAGAUUUUCUUACAUUGCACUGAUACUUUAUGAGCACCAAUUUUGGGAUGAUUAUUUUUGUGUCAUUCUUGUGAAUGUGAAAUUUUAUUGUAAAUUGGCUAUUGUCUAUUUUGUUAGUCUUGUUUAAUUAUGCUACUUAAUGGCGAAUUCCAGGUUCCAUGAGUUUUUAAAGCAAGAGAAUGAGAUUGGAAACAUAACAAGGCAAGAGGCUGUCAGCAUGGUGGGCAUCUUCAAAUGGAUCUGUUCAAGAAGCUAUUAUAUUUUUAGUAUUCGUAGUACUUUAUUAUAGAGCUUAUAAUUAUUUUAAAAUGUUUGCUGCAGGUUCCUCCACUUUUCCUUGAUGUACUACUGGAUCUCUAUUCUUGACAGUAUGUUCUAUCUAUUCAUCAGACAUCUUACAUUUUAGUCUUCCAAAUGCAAUCCAAAUUAUUACAAAUUAUUACAAUCUUAUUCUUUUUCGUUUCCUUACAUUCCUAAGUAGCUGACUCAGGAUACCGCUAUCUCUGGUCUCGGUGGUAGGGCACUAACUACGGAGCUACGCCCUUUCCUCGCGCCACCGCGCCGCUCGCGUGUGAACCUGUACCCCUAAAAACAACACGGGGGGUGAGAACUAUAUAAAUAUAGUUUCCAGUGGGUACAGCCACCCAAGGGAAAAGCUCGACCCACGACGUCCAAGGAGGCACUACAAUCAUGUUAGUCCAACAGAUAUCCACAAGUAUUUUAUGCAACAUUAAAAUACAUGAAUGUGCCUCACAAUAUGCAAUAUGAAAUUCAUGCAACUAUGCAAGUAGAUUAAACGAUUUUACUCUCUAUCAUUGCCAUUCUUUAUUGUUAGACAUUCUUUACUAUUUGCAAUCCUUUCUUAUUAGCCACUUUUAUUCUUAGCCAUUCUUAUUCUUAGCUAACCUUUAUUCUUAGCCGUUCUCUAUUCUUUACUAAGGGUUCUCACACCUUAACCAUAUCAUGCUCAUUUGCCACUCUUUCAUAAGGUUACUCUUACCUCAGUCACAUUAUGCCACUCGACUCGGUCUUGAGUCAAUCAACUGCGGAUAAUCCGCGCUUUGUCCGGCUCGAGGUGAAAGAACUCUCACAUAUACCUCAGCCAACCACAGCCUACCGCGCUCCGUGACUUAGCCAUCCGGCGGCGAAACCAUCGCACACGCCAUGACAAUGGCUCAAGUUAACCGGCGGUAUAAUCCACAAACCGGCUUAACUAUCCGGCGGUGAAAUCGUUGCACACGCCACGACAAUGGUUUAGCCCCGAGCGGCGAAAUCAUCACACACGCCCCACACCCCUCUCGGUGUGAUCCAUAAGUCCUGGGAUUCCGGAAUCCAUUUCACAUAACUCAAGGGUUGGUCUUAACCCUCUAGUAUCGACCUAUCUAGGUCCAAUGUCCCUUCCAUCCUAGGUCCAAUUGACUCUAGGUUCAAUUCCUUUGUCACAUAACCUAAGUUUACAUGACUCUAGGUUCAAUUCUCAACCUAUGUUCUUUAACACUAGGUUCAAUGCCACUCUUGACCAACCUAUAUUUAUUAACACUAGGUUAAAUGCGACACAUGUCCAUCCUAGGUUCACGACACUAGGUUCAAUGCCACUCGAUCUACUUGACACUCCACUUGUCCACGUUGAGUAUCAUAGUUUACACAUUCUUAACUUCCAAUGUUGCAUUCUCUAAUACACCUAGAGUUAUCGACCUGUGUUCAACUCAUAUGAAUCAAGUAUAAUAUACAACUUGCCAACUUGCAUGUUAUUUAGCAUUUGUAUCUUAUAUCAAUAUGCAUUUCAUCUAGCAUAUAUUACAACAUGCACAUCUCAAUUAGCAUUCUCUACAACAUGUCAUUAUGCAUUCCGACUAGCAUGUUCUUAUAAUGUUUACAUGUAUAGGUCAUUUAUCUUUUGCUCUCAACUAGCAUCAUUCAUAUUAUGUCAUCAUGCAUUCUUUGGUAGCCUACUUAACAUUCACCUCAUGCAUUCAUAUAUUUUACCACUAGCUACCAUUAUAUGCAUCAAUAUGAAACCAUAUUUUCUUCGACAUGAAGGCGACCUAGUCGCUUCGGUAAACACAACCCACCUCAAUUCGCACUCCGAUUGCUUAUAGUCACUUGCAAUCGGCCUCCCGCGGCACCCCUUGCCCGGUUCAGCCCGAACUCGCACUCGACCACCAAACGGCCACCAAUCCACAAUCCGGAAAUUAAAGGUCUAUAACUUGAUGCCACGAUAUUCCGGAUCUGUUUUCGUGAUUUUUAGACGUCGCCUCGGCCCUCCAGGCGGAAACAAAGCCAAAAUGUCCGUUUCUUCAAUAUAUUCGCGUAGGUUCGAUGAAUCGCCGAACCGUCUUCACCAACGCGUCGAAAAUACCUUCAAUUAGGUUUACAAAGGGUCAAUUUACAUUUAAACCCAACUAUGACAAAAGCUCUAAUUUUGGUGCCCUAACGAUGCCAUAUGCUCAUUCCACCAUUUCGAUCUCUAAGGCAAGCAAUAACAAGCUUGGCCAACAUCUAGAAGCUCAUUUAGAACCAUUUAACCCAUUCUUAGGGUUUCUAACACAAACCCUAGAAUUUCACCAUGAAAGCUCUUGAAGUAAUCAUGGAUUUCAUGGUGUUCAUGGCCUCUAGAGGGUUUCUCUACAUGUAAGAAACUCAAAUCGAAGAGUUCUAGGGUACAAAACCAAACCCUAGCCUAGAUCUUACAUGAAAACCUCACCUUUGCCCAAAGCUCUCCCAGGUCCACCUUGUAGGAGAGCUCAAACCCUUCAAAUCCUCCAAAAAUCUCCAAACCCUUCUUCAAUCUCCUCCAAAUCCACCUUGUUGUAGUGCUUCUAGAGAGAGAAAGGGAAAGAAAUGAGUGUAGGAGGGUGUUCUUCAGCUGCUGUGAAGGGAAGAGGGUGUUGGGGUCUUAUAUAGGUUGCUACAAUAGCAACUAAGCCCCCCAAAUUCCCGUAUUUGCAGCAGACUUUCUUUUGCUGCCAGACCCAAAGUGUACUGGUACAUAUUGGCUGUCACCGGUAACACGAUCGCUCAGAGGCAAACCCGAGAGCUCUCCCUCUCGGUCUGUCGUUUUGUACCGGUACAACAUCAAUGUUGUACCGGUACACUUUGUCCAGACUACAAUUUUAGCACUUGUUCGACUUCUCUUCGCGCCGAGCAAUGCUAAAAUCCUUUUAACUCUUUUAGAACUCAUUUUUAACUCUUCCAACCUUGUUGGAAUACUAAUUGAAACUUGUCCAACCAUCUCUUUCGCACACUUUAGUCAAUUUGACUAAAGUUCGAUAUUCUCUACAGAGUUUUGGUAUGUUACAUUUCGGGCGCGAUUUCAAUCCAAUAUGCAAAUCCCUUGUAGCCAAGAAAGAAAACAAAACGUCCGAAUAUUCACUGGCACGAGAAGAAGCCAGUUCGCCUUGAAUGGCCUCAUACCGAGUAAGAAGCCAAGGUGGGCCAGUGACACGCUCGGCAAACGAAGACCAUGAAAUAAGGAAAUGAGGACGCGAUUCAUAGAAAAUUAUGAAAUAAGUGGCAAAAUCAAAAGGGUGAAUUGACGUUAACGGCUGGGGACAGCCAAGAGCUAAUCCGUAAAUGUCAAAAUGAGGAGCCGAGUCUAGAAUUAAAGGAUCUCGCCACAAAUUAGGAAAAUAAAUUUGCAAAAACAUUUGCAAAAACCAGAAAACACCACCACCAGAGCUGAUGGUUAAACCCUCUCCAUAAGGGAUCGGUUCGUCAGUAAAGGAGUGACCAAAGAUGAACCGAAAAGGGUUCGAUGGGACAAAUUGCCUAAGUAUGGUAUAAUCUAAUGACGGAGAAGAAGGAAGAGGCGAAAGUGGCGCCAUUGUUAAAAUGAAAGAAGAUAGCGAAGAAAAGCCCUAAGAGUCGAGAGUGAAAAAGGGGAAAAGAAGACAAAGAAGCAGAGAAGAUGAAGAUUCAAGCCAGAGAAAAGGAAAAACGAAGAGAACGAAGAUAGGCCAGAGAAAAGAAAAGUGGAAGCUUGGCGAAGAAGAAAGAGAAGCCGUCGCGUCGAAUCGAUUUCCGAGGCUGGCUAUAAUGAUGAAGAGACGGCGGCAAUUAAUAUGACCUAAUUAAUGCCGCAUAUAAGACAAAAAGGAAUGUUGAGAUCGUGGCCGUAGAGAGGAAAAGAACGGCUGAAAAGGAACCGUACAAAGAAUUCGAAUUGACAAUAUCGAAAGACGCGCCUUUGAUUACGCCAGCUACCGAAGCGUCUGUUCGAAAGCUGCCAAGGGGGCAAAUUGUUAAGCCAAGAACACGCGGCCAUAUGGUAUGCUGAUGCACCGUUCAACCCCAAUCUUUAAAAGCAAUGAUUAGAGAAAAUCUUGGUGUGCACCGGGAGCAUCGACAAUAUAAUUAAGUAACCGCUAGGAUUAAUUGCAGGAAGUUACAGUAAUUGCAGGCGGUUACAUGCAGAUUUGAUUGGCCUGAAGUGGCCCGUAAAAAUAGGAUAGUGGCCGAUCAUGGAUGGGGCAAUAACUGACUAGCAGAGGCAGACUAUAAAUAGGCAAAUAACGCCUAGAAAAGGAGUCUUUUCCCUGAGAAUAGAAGACCACCUUUAUUUCCUCUGCAUUUUUCUCGCAUUUUCUAGGAGUAGUCUACUUGUAAUCUUUUACUUUCCCGCACUUACUAUUUUUCUAGAAGUAGAUUUAAGUUAGAUCAACCGAGUCUGUAUGCUCUCAGACACACUCAUCCCUUGUACUAGUUUUACAAGUUAAUUCCAAUAUAUAAAGGCAUUCGGCUUUUCAGCCGACCAAAAGUACAGUGUAUUCCGUACAUUCGGCUCAUCCAGCCGAACCGAAUCUAUAGUAGGAGGUUCUGAACUCGGCUGAUCCGAUCCUUCAUCAGCCGAAUCGCUUGAUCCAGUCGAAGGGUGCGAACUUCGAAGGUAACUAAUCGUAGCCGUUUCAUAUCCCCACACGCUUCCCGAGAGAGAUCUUUGACCGGUCAAGGAUCAGGGAAUUCGGCUCCUAACAAAAUGGUAUCUCUCUAACUUCCAAUUUGUUGUAUUUUAUUUAGUUAAGUUAAUUUUUUUGUCAUAUUUUUAUUAAUUGUUACUUGAUGCUAUCUUUUUUUUUGGUAAAUAGUAAUGUGUUUCAUUUUUUACUUCUCUUGUUGAGAACUUGAAUGUGUCUUAUCAUUUCCUUUCAAUCAUUUACACACAAGAUGGGAUGCAAUUGUAAUUUUACUAUUAACAUAUCUAGUUAUAGAAUUUAAUAAAAUAAAAUUGAUAUUUAAAUUCCAUCGAGAUCUUGUGUCGACCUUCAAGUGGAAGUAUGUGAUGUACAAUAUAGUUUAAGCCAUAAUUUUUAUUUUUAGAGUCUACUUAACUACAUCAAGUUGUGGUUGAUGGACAAAUGAAUAAUAUAAAACGCAUCUUUAACUGAUUGACAGCACUUAAUUUAACCCAUUUUGCAAAGUACUUUUUUUUGUAGACCCGACAAUUGGCUUUGGUUAUGUGAUCACUUUGAGUCGGAAGCCUUCAAAGUAAUACAAUUUGUUAUUUCUUUAAUUUUGUGGUGAACAAUAACUAUAUUAUUUCAAUUAUUAUGAGUAUGUUAAUAUACAAAAAAUUACUUGUAUCAAUAAAAAAUAUAUAUAGUUAUUACACUUCUUAAUAUAUGGAUACUAGUGAUAAUUUCUUAAUUCUUCUUUAUAGAGGCGUUCAAUGGCCAACUCCAGUAACCGAAGAAAAUUACCAUAUAUUCAUCGAGCGGGUACUAGUAUCUUUGUGGCUACUCGGCAUAAAUUGGUAUAUUUUAAAGUUUUUAAUAUAGCACGAUUUAUUUUUUAUAAAUUUUACUAAUGUGUUAUAUUAUAAAACGGAGCAUGUGGUGAGAUUGCUUUAUUCAAAGGAUAUUAUCAUAAUGGAAAAGGAUGGGCCAAAAUUGCCUUAUUCAAGGGAUGCUAUCAUAAUGAAAAAUAAUGGGCCAACGAUGAGGCUAAGAAAAGAUAUGUUAGUUCUCACUAAUUUUGAAUAUAUGUUAAUAAAUUAUUAUGUAAAAAAUAUAACUAAUAUUUUUUAUAUUCAUAUGUGUUAAAAGUGUUUUAACUGUGGUUAACAAAAUUUUUCUAACGGACUCUAACGGCAGGGACAUAUCUGAAUACAUCAAGACUUUUGCAGGGAUAACGUAUGAAAGUUGAGCUUUGCAAGGAUAUAUUUAUAAUUCACCAUAUUUGGAGGGACGUGUAUGCAAUUAAUCCUAUAACAAUACAAACAUAUAUAUAAGAAAGAGAGAGUAAGGUAAGUGCAUGGAUAAGUGAUAAAACUUUACGCGGAUAGCCAUUAUCGCGAGCCAUUAUUAGUGGAUAAAUUCACCAUAAAUAAGCUUUUCUCAAUUACUUUUAACAUAGUCCCUAUACAUUUUUUUUUUAAUGUUUUUUACUCAAACACAGUAAAUAUGUUAUUAUUAUUAUUAUUAUUAUUAUUAUUAUUACUACGUGUUACGAUUUCAUCUCUAAAGGACUACUAUUUUAAAUUUUUCCACAAAUAUCUUCCACGAUUCGUAUAUUUAAUAACCGUUUAGUGUUUUCGAAAUAGAAAUUAGAAAAAUUUUAUUCUUAUUAUUUAAUAUUAUUUUGCAUGAUAAAAUCUUUUAUUAAUAAAUAUUAUAAAUACAUGUCAAAUUUGCUGAAAAAUUAUAAUUUAAAUUUAUUUAUCCAUUUCAGACAUACUAUAACAAUUAUAAACUGAAUUUAAAUUUCUCAAAUUUUUAAUAUCUAUUUCAAAAUAUAUUAUAGUGCAGAUGAGAUAAAAAGCAAAAUUACACCUUUUGUUCUCAAACUUUAAUUUAUUAUAAUUUUUGGCUCAAAAUUUUGAAUUGUUAUAAUUAGAAUUUACAAAUUCAAUUUAGUUGGUUAAAUAUUGAUAGACUAAUAAUGUAGAAAUAGCGUGAAAAUAUUAUAGUUAACGAUGUGGCAAUAAUUGAAAUACUGUACCACUUCCACAUCAACAAUUUAUAAAUAUUUAGAAUUGUAAUAAUUCAAAAAGUUUAAAUAAGAAAUUAUAAUAAAUUUAAAUUUUAGGAUUAACACUACAACAGAAUUAGGUUAUAGGGACACAUGUGUCACGCCCCGGGGUCCCUUUUCAGUUUAAAACAAAGCGGAAAAGCGUCUGAGUUUUUUUUUUUGAAAACCUGACCCCAGAGUAUGCCAGAUCCGCCACAAAUACAGGGAAUCCACUGUUCACACGGACAANAAAACAUCUACUAAUGCCUAAAUAUAAAGCCCAAUCAAACCAAGAAUAAAAGAUUACUCUACUCAACCCACCACACCCAGUCCAUUUAGCCCGAUUACAAACAGAAAAGAAAAAAAAAAGAAAAAUCAAUUACUAUCUUUUCUUCUCUCUUCACUCAAUCCAUUGAAAUUCUAGACGAAGAGCCUUUUCUGUCGUUCUCCUCCGCCACGGCAGCCAACGAGAUAGAGGUUCGGCGGUUGUUAAAUGCUUAAAUAAGUGUUGGUAAAUUAGCAGCACUCUUUUAGAUUAUAGCGACACUCUUUAACUAUCACUAUAUACCUAGUGACCCCACAUAUAGCAACACUUUUUAAAAGUGUCGGUAAUUUUAGCUAGUAGCACUUUUUUGACAUGUACCUACAUUUAAAAGUGUCGUUAUAGACCGUUUUUAUUGUAGUGUAAAGUGUCAUGCUAUUCAUAGUUUGAGGACUAAGUGUAAUUUUUCUUGAGAUAUUUAAAAAAAACUUUUAUGUAUAAUGGACCAAAUUGCAAUAUCUGGAAAGUACGGGGAGUAUCCUUCCAUUUCAUCCGUAAUUAAGUUUUCGUUGAAACGGAAACGGAGCCGUCCUCGUCCCCCGUUUCGAGGCUGCGGAGGCUCGGAGCCGAAGCUCCAGGCUAGGGAUAGGGAUAUGUGGGCCCCACCAUAAGCGGCUGUCGCGUGCCGCAUAGAAGGAAUCGCCACGGAGAAACAGGAAACAUGGAAUGGGGGAUUACAAUCCCCUUUUAAUGAGAAUGAAGUUCCUAUGACCGAGCAAGAAAUUUGUGCUCAAAUACUUGGCACUAGAUAUGGAUACAUACCUAGGCGAGGACAUGGUCCAACACCUAAGUCACGACAUGAAGUUUCGAAAAAUCAAUCAUCACAAUUGCAGGAAGAAUUGACAAACACAAAAACUCUUCUUGAGACCCAACAAUCUCAAAUUGAGACUCAACAAUCUCAAAUUGAAGUUUAACGUAAGGAGAUUGAAUGGUUAAAGACUAUGGUGCAACAAAUCAUUCAAAUGCCACCAAGAAAUGAAGAUUUUGGACCAUCUACUACGUGGUAAAUAAGAUUUUUUGAGUAGUUUUUCUUCUUUUUUUUUUAAGUCAUUUGUUGUCAAAAUUUUAUAUACUUAUAAAACUAACUAUACAUAUUAACUAUCUUCAAGUAAGUAUUUUAAUAAAUUAAAAUGACUUGUUUAUUUGCUUACACAAAAUAACAAAGUCAAUGAAUAUUAAUUUAUUUAUCUAUCUUGUAUUAUUAUCUUAGUCUUGAAAUUGUAAAUGAAUUAUUUAUAUAAAAUAAUAAUUAAUUAAGAAAACUUUAUUAUCGCAUUAUUAAAUUUUUUUUUACUUUUUGUGCAGAAAUAUGCGAAUGGACUAUAUUGGAGCAAGCCAAGUACUAAAAUAUCUUCUAUUGGAAUGUCGGUAUUUUUGUUGAAAAAAUAUUAGUGACCAUGUAUUAGAAUGAUUAAUCAAGAGUUGAAUAUUUUAACUGUUUUAAAAUGAUACUUAGUUGGCUAUAUUUUGUUUAUUUGGAUUUGUAAAGAUAUUUUGAAUGAGAAAUACAUUUUUUUUUGUUUGUUUAUUUAUGUAUGAUGUUUGAUGAUAAUUUGAGUUGUUAAAUAUAAAAAAAUGUCAUAUAAAUAGUGGAUGGAUAUUGCUGCAGGAUUGAUUGCUGAAACUGCGACCAAAUUGUUCAUUGCUAAUAUAUAAUUGGUAGUAUAUAUUGACAGAUAAAUUUGCGACUAUAUUAUUGGUCGAAAAAUAUUUGUUGAACUAGUUAACUUGUAAUUAAAAUUGCGACAAACUAUUAUCGUCGCCAUAGUAUCAUAAAAAAAUAAAAUAAAAUAAUUAAAAAAUAAUGGCUUUUACUGACGAAACGAUAUUGUUGCAAUUAGGUUAUAUUUAGUUACGAAAAAUAUUAUUCAGAUGUAUAUUUAGCAACAAAUAAUUGGGCCAAUAGCGACCAUUUAUAUUGUCGCUAUUGGUACAUUUAUAGGGACAAAUCUUUUACUGUCGCUAAAUGUAGCAGCUAAUAGUGACCGACUUUACUUCGUCGCUAAAGAGUUAUAGCGACGGGGAGGUAGCGACGAAGCAGCGACGAAGAUAGUUUUGUCGCUAAAGAAUAAUAGCAACGAAAUGUCGUCCUAUAGCGACAAACAAUGUUGGUUACAAAAGGCGUCAAUUUUUGUAGUGUCAGUAUCAACCUGCGCAAACUCGAGAGCAUCAAUUCUGCAAUUUCACUGGGGUACCGGUACUUCUCCCCAGGUACCGGUACUCAACACUGAAAUCUUGCACUUUGCAGAUUUCAGUGUUAGAACUCCCCUUUCGCAUCACGCUGAGUCCGUUUUGCGUCCAUUCCGCGCCAAAACGACUCCGACUUGUCUCGACACCCACCAGAUGUGCCGACAAGCCACAGAUGCUGAAGUCACACAGACCGUUAAACACUAGGGACACUAUAAAAUCAGGCGAAACAAAAUUGUAAUUUCGAUAAUUCGGCAGUGCCGGAAGCGCUGGCACAGUCUGUUUGCAAAUCCGAUGGACGGAUCUCCUGAUAUCGCGCGAUUACCGGGAAGGGUUAAAAAAUGGCGAAUUGAAAGAAUUCACAGAAGCCCUACAUUUUAUGUACCGAUUUGCAUAAAAUCGAACUUGGGGGUGUGUUCGCGCAAUUUUCUCGUGCUGUGAGGGACUUAGCUAUUACAAAUUAGAGGACUCAUUUGCAAAAUUGCACCUAUAUAUAUAUGGCCAACUAGGGUUUUGUUGACCCAAACCCUAACCCUAGCUUGCCACCCUCAGCUGAAACCUACCAGCUACCUCACUACCCUCCCAUUCCUUUGUCGCCCGCACCCCGGUCGUUGUUGUGCACCUCGACUGCUGGAAGUCACCACCUCUCUUCCUCUCCCUCACAUUUGCUUUUUUUUCCUCCAUCUUUGCUCGAGAGCCUGGCAGGGUGAUCCCCCACCCUUGGGCCAUCUUCUAGUACACCACCGGACCUCCGAGGACCUCCCCCGCCGACUGUUGUCGUCCCUGAGUGCGGCCACCGCGAACUUUACAGCCUACAGCCAGCCUAGUACUGGUGCAGCCGAGCCUUACAGCGCCGUCCGGCCACCGGCAGCCAUCCUCCUUCCCUCCCCUCGACUCCAGGGAAGGCCCAUACCCUUCCUCUGGCAACCCUAAACCGCGCCGUGGCUGGAGAAGCCACCUGAACCCUGCGACGAGCUUGCUGAUGUGGUUUUCGUGUUGCCCCUUCCAGCGCGCGCUGCCGCCGCGCCGCCUCUCGCCGCCGACCAAUGCGAGCGCCGGCCCUCCCCCGCCGGUGGCACCUGCCUGCCGCCGACGCGCCCGCCUGCCGCCGGCGCGCCCGCCUGCCAUCGACCGAGCCCUAGCCCGCCCUGCCCUGGUGAGUCCAUUUAAGGUUUUUGUUGGGGUUUUUGGGAUGUUCUCGCUGUUCCUGCGAGCCGAGACUGUCCCGAUGCCUCUGGAGGUGAGCACGGUGAUCUCUGGUCAGUGCUGAUCAUGGUGCUCACCUCAUUUGUAGUUAGCGAGUCCCGGAUUCGCGUAUUCUGCCCGGUUUGCCCUUCGGACCGUGAGUACGGCCUUCGGCUUUUUGAUACCUGUCAGCCUGUGUCUCGGCUGACCUUGAAAAUCCUCGAUUUGCGGUAACGGUCCAUAAAACUCCGCUUUUCACAUAAAAUAAUGGAAUUGUUUGUUGUUUUAGGGGCUUUUAUGCAAAAUGCCAUCCUGCUACUACUACGGGCAACUUGUGUGCAUGGUGAGCGACCUAUGGACUGAUCGUCCAAGGUCCGAAGCCCUCCGCGGAAAUCGAAUAUCAAUUUCGGUGCAUUUUUCGAUGAAAUUCGCCGGCGGAAUGCGGCUUCGGUUCAGAUUUCAUCCGACGAUACUAGAAUGCCCUGUACCUUAUCUCUGAGCCUUGUUGGCUGGUCAUCAUCGUCAUUCUGAGAGUCCGGAGACGACGAGUGAGCGACGGUGGGUUUCGAGGUCGAAAAUUGACACUUUCGGAAACCGGGAUCGAAACGAUUAUCCGACGAUAAUUGUUUUGAUGUGAGACUUUAUGUUGCUGCCUAGAUAUUCAAUAUGAUAUGUUUUGAGGCAGCGGGUGGCUCGUGGCUCAAGUCGGUAAGUUCCGGGACCGUUAGUGGGUCCCGGCAGCAUCCCGGUGUGAUUUUCGGGAUAUCCGGUGAGUCACGGUUAUUGGUUUUGGAAAACCGAUUCCACGGGGAAACGUAUGGGGUUGUGAGUUGUAUAUUAUGGAUUAGUAGGAUUGGACACUGACCCGGUGGACCCUUUGUAGGUCCGGUUGACGAUCUGAUCUAGUUUCGAGAUAGGCACGACAUUGGUACAGGUAGGUACUUCGAUCCGAAGUCAGUCUAGUGGUGCACGCUCGGUGACGUUCCCUCUACCCUUUCUCUUUAUGUUUUCGCAUUACCCACAUUAUUGAGCUUAGCACCAUAUGACUUCAUUACUUGUUACUCUGCUGAGUUACUUUUAUAUUCGAUUAUCAUGAUCUAGGAGUAGGGUGGUUAUUGAUUAUACUUGUGCGUGAUGUGACACCAGUUGUGACCUAGUUGGUUGGUUUCGAGAUUCUGCUUGUUUGAUGACCGAUUCGGUCGGCAAACCCUGAGGGGUUGAUCGUUGGCUACUUGCCGACGGUUAUUGAUCAUAUUUUCAUCGAUCGCCACUGCUCGUAUGCAUUUCACGUACACCAGCGGUUUGGCCACCGCAACGGUGUUCUUUUCCGAAAAAGUGGUCGGAAACACCAACCCCUGAGCCCAGGAGCUUAUGCUAAAGUUAUAUGUCAUUUAGAGCGACAUGGCACUUGCCUAAGGUCCUUAAACCGACAUAGCGGAUUCUGAAUUGGGUAUUUUGGACUGAUUGUCCGAUUGAUGCAUGUUAUUUACAGUAGAGGUAGUUGUAUAUACACAUCUUGUUUCUUACUUGACGUUGCUACUGCAUUACCUUUCAUAAUUACCUUUUUGGUUACCAGUGAGUACACUCGCUCUCGUCGGCUUGCGGUACCCACUAAGAGACCUUUGUUGGUUUCUCACCUUCCCUAUUUCAGGUGAUCUUGGAGGUGCGAUUCGGGACGAGGCUUGACGCACAUAGCUAGUGAGUGGUAUAGGUCCCAACCUAGUGGUAUUUCUGAUUCUAGACCCUAUUCCCUACUUUUGAUGAAUAACUACAAUAUUGUGGUUCAGCUCAGUUUAUUCAUGUUUCGCUUUACUUGGAAUAUGACUUUGGUUUUGCAAUCUUAAAUAAAUUAUGAUGGAAAUGGUUUUUUACCCCUCGUGAUAGCUCGCUGUUAAAAAAUAAGGGUUUCCGUGUAGGAAACGGUUUUCAAAAAAGUUUUACAGCUUUUUGUGAUUUUAGUAUUUCAAAAUAAGUUUUCGGGUGGGAAACACUUUCAAAUGAUAGAUGUGAAUGUAUGAAUGUAAUUGUGAAUGUGUUGUGAAUGGAUGUGACUGUAACUUGUAUGAUGUGCGACGCCGUGCAAAUACAGAGAAAACUAUGUCCGUGUAGAUAGAGAAUUCUCUGUAUUUGUGGUAGGUCUGUCAUUCCUUAGGUCAAGGUUUUCAAAAAAAAAAAAAAAGGGCACUUUCCGCUGAUCCACAAACUUUUAAGGGACCCCGAGGUGUGACAGGAAUCCUAUCCUCCAUUUUAUAGAGUUGUUCAAUUUACACCAUUCACUGUUUGUUUAGUGCAGCAGAAAAUAAUUUAUGAAAACUUCAAAUUUUGGAAUUAUUAGAAAUGUAAAGCUCAAUAUCUAGAGGAAAGAAAAAAUUAUAAAAAGAAAAUAGAUACCAACGCAUCCAAAGGAAUACUUCAACUUAGAUGUUUGUCAAAAUUAAAUAAGAAAAGUAGCAGUAGAGUUCAUACCGUCCCACUGGGAAGCUCUGCUAGAUAAACUUUACCCAAUCUACUCUCUCUCAUCAAAUUAUCUUCUCUAAAGCUGUUUGUGUAUUGCUGAAGGGAUGAAACAGCAAAGGAUGACACAGAUGUAGGGGCAUUGACUUUCUCAGGUGGAGCGUUCCUCGUGGCAUAUUCAGGUGGUGCAACUGGAUUUACUAUAACCCUCUCCACAGAAGCAGGUGGCGGCACAAGGUUUACUGUUACUCUUUCCACCGGAGGUGGAGGUGGAGGUAGUGGCAUGACAAGUUCGUCGGUCCCUUCCAAAUCGAUUACAUGAUCUAUUUUCUUGUCUGACGUGCUCUCUGAAACUGCCAAAAACAAUUAGAAGUUAUUCCCUUCAGAGAUACUUAUAAAUACACCCUAAGUAAUCUAUUUAUGACCUUCAGAAAUAGUUUCCUACAUGCAUGCCCCUGUACAAAGUACAAACAGUAAUGCCUCUCUCUAAAAGAUUGUUAUACAUCAAAACCAGCUAAAAUUGGCGAACCUUCAAUUUAAGAUAAGGGGAUUUCUUUUAGAAACUGCACUUGCUAGGGAUGUGUGUUAAAGAUCAGAUCCUAUUCAAAUAUUUAUGUAAAUAGAUGAUGUUGUAUGGAUGUAUAAGUAAAGGAUCCUAUUAAGUCUAGACUAGUUAGUAAAGAGACCCACAGAUCACGUACUACCCACUCCACUCUUUGAUUUUCAGGUCGGUUAGCAAAUCAGCCUCGCAUCCUAUCGAUAGCGAUUUAGAUCACCUCCCCAACCAAGCCUGCCUAACCUAAUUCUUUCUGGGAAAUCGAUCGUGACAAGUCGACCUAAUGAAAGCACCUGUAGAUUUUAGAUAGAAGCCCUUUGUCCACCGCUGGACUCAUCCUCAAUGCCUAAAAUUGCCUAGUUCAGUCGCUUGUCUGCCACUUCCCAUGCCCGAGAUUCCCUUAUGGGUAGCAUCCUAAAAAAGAGAUAGCUUUGUGGUCAACUUCUAUUCUGCUUGUUGGAAGCUUUUUCCGGAUCUCUUCCCGGAUCAACCUACUCAAUAUCCGAAAGAGGGUAGGCUUUUUUGGCGGCCGNAUAUUUUUAUUAUUUAAAUUUUAGCAAAAUAAAAAUAUAAAUGCGAGCUUAAUUAUAAAAAGACUUAUUUAUAUGUAAAGUUUUAACUAUUAGAUAAAAGUCUAAUGGAUAAGAUUUUAUAAAUUUAUAUCUUAUAUAUAUUUAAUCUAAUUUAUUUAAUUUAUUAUUCGUUGGCCAGCUCGUAAGCCAGCUCGUGUUCGGCUCGUUUACACCCCUACCUAUAUCUGAGUAGCGUGAUUUAGGAGUAGAGCGGUUGAUGAUUAUCUCGAUUCAUGAUAUGACAUCAGUGUGACCUAGUCGGUCGGUUGAGAUUAUAGUUGAUGACCUAUUCGGUCGGCAUACCCUAAGGGUGUGAUUGUUGGCUACUUGCCGACGGUUAUUGAUUAUAUUUGUAUCGAUCAUCACUGCUCGUAUGUAUUUCACGUACACCAGUGGUUUGGCCACCGCAAUGGUGUUCUUUUUCAGAAAAAUGGUCGGAAUGAGCCUAGCGGCCCACUACUAGGGUUAUAUGCCAUUUAGAGCGGCGUGACACUUGCCUAAGGCUCUUAGAUCGACAUGGCGGAUUCUGUAUUAGGUACUUUGGACUGAUCGUCCGGUUGACACAUGUUGAUGUACAGUAGCGGUAGCUGCAUUUAUAUACCUUGUUUCCUCACUUUACUUUGCUACUGUAUUACCGUUUAUAGUUACUUUUUGGUUACCAGUGAGUACACUCGCCAUCGUCGACUUGCGGUACCUAUUGGAAGACCCUUUGUUGGUUUCUCACCCCCCCAUUUCAUGUGACAUUGGAGGUUCGAGUCAGGACGAGGCGUGAGGCACGCGCGUAGCGAGAGUAGACCUCUCAGCUUGGCUAUCGUCGUAUCUAGACUCAUCCUUUUUUUAUUUGAAUAAUAGAUUAGAUAAUUGUGGUUCAAUUUAUCAUAUUUAACUUGAAUUGGUNACAUUGGAGGUUCGAGUCAGGACGAGGCAUGAGGCACGCGCGUAGCGAGAGUAGACCUCUCAGCUUGGCUAUCGUCGUAUCUAGACUCAUCCCUUUUCUAUUUGAAUAAUAGAUUAGAUAAUUGUGGUUCAAUUUAUCAUAUUUAACUUGAAUUGGUUUUUAUUUUAUCCUGGUUAUGACUUUUAAUAUUGAUCAAGAAUAAUUGUGAUUUUCGCAUGGUUUUAUGAAAAUGAUUUUCUACCCUUCGUGGUAAUUGAUUUUUAAAAAGAAAAGAUUUCCGUGUGGAAAAUGAUUUUAAAAAGGAUUUUUCGCUUUUUAUGAUUCUAGUAUUUCAAAAUGAGUUUCGGGGUGGAAAACAUUUUAAAUAAUAGAUGUGAUUGAUUGAAUAUUAAUCGUGAUGUUGUGAAGUGGUGAAUGUAUACAUAAUUUGUGCAUGCUUGUGGUUAUAUCUUGUACUUGUGCGACGCCGUGCAAAUAUAGGAAAAACUCUAUCCGUGUGAACCGUGGGUUUCCUAUAUUUGUGGUGGAUUUGGCAUCUCCUGGAAUCAAGAUUUUCAAAAUUAAAAAAUUUGGGCACUUCCGCUUUUUUUUGUACUUAAAAGAGAUUCUGGGGCAUGACUGACGGUCUUUCUCUAUAUUCUUUUUCUAUUUUUUAAAGUCAGAUAUAAGACAAUCUAUUCGAAAUUCCAAACAAAAACCUAACGAAAACCUAUUUCCGGAAAAAAAAAAAAUGGCUAAAUUACAGAAAACCCCCCUGUAAUAACCCGCUUUUUCACUUCCCCCCCCUGACAUUUAAAAACCUACAUUUUGCCCCCUUCUAAUUACGAAAUUGUGCACAGGGGGCUACGGCGUUAACGGAAAGUGUGAAAUGACGAUAAUGCCCUUACCUUUUACUUGACGGGGAGAGAGAGGGGAGAGAGAGAAAGUGGAAUGUCGUUCGUUUCGUCGUUGGAGAAAAAAAAUCUAGGGCUCGAUCCUGCGAGGAGGACGAGGCGAUUCGAACCCUAGGCGUAGGCGAAAGGCAAGCGCUAGCUUUCGAACCAAGGAGAAAGGCGAGCGAAUCGACAUAGGGACAGUGAUCGUGCUUGAACGAGGACCCUCUUACUAUGCUGAGGUAUAAUUAUAAGCUUUAGUGUUGAAAUGUUAAUUUAGUACAUGUGGUCCCUAAUGUUUCUGUGGUUGAAGAAAUUCCUUUGGGUUUUGUAGUUUUGCAUUAUUUUAUUCCUUAUUUUAGUACAUGUGGUCCCUGAUGUUCCUAUGCUGAGGUAUAAUUAAGCUUUAGUGUUGAAGGUUGGUUUGAUAUUAUCUGAGCUUUUGGUCCCACUUUGCUUUAUGUUUUUGUAUGUGAUGCAUUUAUAUUUUUGUUUUAUUUNUUUUAUAGUCUCCCGCCAUUUUAAAGGGUAGUUUGGGUAUCUCCACUAAUAAAUUUCGAAAAAGCAAACAGAACACUCACGGAACCGUGACGGCAAGGGGCCCUGUGCACAAUUUCGUAAUUAGAAGGGGGCAAAAUGUAGGUUUUUAAAUGUCAGGGGGGGAAAGUGAAAAAGUGGGUUAUUACAGGGGGGUUUUCUGUAAUUUAGCCAAAAAAAAAACUCUGCUAAAUCUCAACGGGAAGCCUAAGGCAGCGUUUGGUUUGGAAACAAGGAAGAAAUAAGCCCUUGUUCCCCCUUUUGUUUCCAAACAUAAAUUUUUGUACUUGAGAAUAGUAGUUUUCGGAUUUCUGGAAUAAUCUAGUAUAACUUGAUAUAAGCUUGAAACUGCUAUUUCACCCGAACAAAGUUAAUUAAAGUCUAAAUUUAAUUUUAAUUAUGGUAUUAAAUCAUUAAUUAAUCUAAAUAAUAUAUUUAAAUCAUUAUCAAUUUCUUAAAUAAUAAAAUAAUUAAUUACUUUAUUACUUAUAAUUAAUUGGCUAAUUAGUUAUUAAUAAUUUAAUAUGUUUAUUCAUAAACUAAUAUACAUAUUAAUAAACCAUUAAUAUUUUUAAUGGUUUAAUAUGUUAUUAAUAUGUAUUUUAGUUAUUAAUAUGUAUAUUAGUAAACCAUUAAUUAAUAUGUAUAUUAGUUAUUAAUAGUUAUUAAUAUACAUAUUAAUAAACCAUUAAUUAGCUAAUUAGUUAUUAAUAUGUAUAUUAGUUUAUUCAUAAACUAAUAUACAUAUUAAUAAACCAUUAAUAUUUUUAUUAAUCUAAUUAAUUGUUUCUACUAGUUAUGUAAAUAAAAUAAUUUACUAACUAAUCAUAAACUAAUAUACAUAUUAAUAAACCAUUAAUAUUUUUAUUAAUCUAAUUAAUUUUUUCUACUAGUUAUGUAAAUAAAAUAAUUUACUAACUAAUUAAAAAGUUAAAUUACUUUUUAUAAUUAAUUAAUUAAUUAAUAUAUUUUUAUUAUCUUAUAUAAUAUUCAUAGUUAAUAAAUUUAUUAAUUAUUUUUAAUUAAUAUUUUGCUGUUAAUUAAUUAGAUAAAAUAUUUUUAAUUUAAAAUUAUAACUCUUAUCUUUUUUUGNUACAUAUUAAUAAACCAUUAAUAUUUUUAUUAAUCUAAUUAAUUGUUUCUACUAGUUAUGUAAAUAAAAUAAUUUACUAACUAAUUAAAAAGUUAAUUUAUUAAUUAUUUUUAAUUAAUAUUUUGCUGUUAAUUAAUUAGAUAAAAUAUUUUUAAUUUAAAAUUAUAACUCUUAUCUUUUUUUGUUCCAAACUAACCAUCCACAUACUAUUUAUUUAUUUUAUUUCUAAAAACAAUCUAAUUUUUUUAAAAUAUAAAAUUGAUUUAAUUAUUAUUUAUAUCUAAAUUUGUAUCUAUUUUAAAAAUAAGUUAUUCUUACUUAUUUUCGAAUCAAACGCAGUAUAAAAGUACGGCUUAGUUUAGUAUUGAGGCCUAUCGAUGGAGUUGGAAUAAAAAUAUAUAGAAAUAUAUUUCUGUCUUCUACGAUGAACCGAAAAAAAUAUAUAUUAUAGUCGACCCACAAUAGUAAACGAAACGUAAUAUUAUAUAUAAAAUUAAAUAAAAUAUUUUUGAGCGUACUUUUCCGUCACUGGUACAGUAACUUUUUCGCAAUCGGACGCGAAGCCAAAUGGUGAAACUGUACUCGAAGCGUGAAAUUAACGCUGCCGAUUGCGUGGACACAAUAGUGGCUAUCCAGCCCAGGAUAUCGCGAUCCCAGAAGUGAGAGAAAGAAUGGCCGUGGCUCUUCUCACCCAUCCUCCCCCUUCUCCCACACUCUCCCAUUCCCCCUCUUCUCUCCCCUCCAUCUUCUGGUACUUCUUCUCCUGCUGUACUCUCUCUUUCUCUCUCCUUCCACUUCAAUUAAACGCUAAAAGAAGAUUCUUGAUUGUGGUUUCCAGGGACCGGAAUCCGUUUUGCAGAACAAGAACAAGAACAAGAACAAGAACAAGAACAAGAAGAUGCCCGCUUCUGGGGAGAUCCCAUGUCGUUGUUUCUUCGUGUUGUUCAGAGCCUACUUCAACAAUGACGAGCUCACGGAGGAGAAGGGAUCUCGUGUUGUCGACCCUCGCGGCUUCGUUAGCACUGGCUCUUCCAUGUUCCGGUAGGAACUGAGCCUCUCUUUGUUCUUGCUAUUUCGCAUGUAACUUACCUGACCUGUGGACCACUUUGAUUCCACUAUCCGGACUUUCAAAAUUUUGAUAUACAUCAACCUUUCAAAAUUACUUGAAUUUGGGAGAGCUUAAGAAUACAUAAAGUAUUUAUUUUAAAAAACAGAUUUAUGAAGCAAGUUAUUACAAAAGUUCGGUGUGCAGAGCACAAGCUUUUUAAGAAACUUUUUUUUUGCUUUGGCUCUAGGAUUUACAAUAUUUUAAGUGCUUUUUUUUGCAUUGAGCCCCCUCUCAUUUUUUUUUUUUUAAAUAGUCCCAUAAAAUUUAUAAUUGCAAAACUGGCCCUAUCCCUGCCAUGCAAGUGCCACGUCAGCGGCUGUGGAGGGUUAAGUUGAACACGGUGCAUGAGUCACCAUGUUUAAACAUGGUGAACCAUUUACCAUGUUUGGACGGGCUAAACAGUAGUCAAGUUCCGUAAUGCAGAAGAACUCAAACAGCCUCGCAGUUUAGCUUAAACAUGGUGAACCAUUCAUCGUGUUUAGGACUUUUUUUGCAAUUGGCCCCGUGAAAAAAAUUUAUUUUAAAAAUAACCCCGAUAAAUUUAUAAUUGUAAAAAUAGCCCUACCGCUGCCACGCAGUCGCCACGCGGGCAGGCUGGAUGGCGGGUUUGGCAAGUUGAACACGGUGGACCAUUCACCGUGUUCAAACAUGGUGAAUGGUUCACCGUGUUCAGUUAGUUAUUCUGCCUUGAAAAAGAUGGUGUAUAAUAUGUUUAGGGUUUACAUCAAGCGACGCGAAUAAACAAAAGAAAUACGGUGAACCAUUCACCGUGUUUGAACACGGGUGAAUGGUUCACCGUGUUCAACUUGCCAAGCAGGAGCCCAGCCCGCCAACGUGGCAUUUGCGUGGCGCCUGCGUGGUAGGGGUAGGGUCAUUUUUGCAAUUAUAAAUUUGUCGGGGCUAUUUUUAAAAUAAAAUUUUUCUAGGAGGCCAUUUGCAAAAAAAAACCUCGUGUUUAAGCUACUGACGUGGCGCUUGCGUGAGGGGAAUAGGGCCAAUUUUACAAUUAUAAAUUUUGUAGGGUUAUUUGUAAAAAACAAAUUUAUGAGGGUACCAAAUGCAAAAAAGGCCCAUAUUUUAAUUUUUACCGUACCAUAAAAAGGGGCCUUUAUGCAAGUUCUGAAAAAGUUGAGGGGGUUCAUGGCCACUGUGAGCCCCUCAAUAGCUCUAUCCUUGGAUGACUCUUUCUGUAGUAAGUAUAAGUUCGUUACUUUAAUGAAUUUAUAGUUACAUUGAUUGCAUAAAAUAUACUAAUUAAGUCUACAAGGAUGAAGAUGUAUUCAAAUUUUGAAGUUAAAGAGUAUCAAAUAAAUUGAUUGAUUAGGUAGCAAGAUUAAAAUUUUUAAAGGUUAGGUAGUUAGAACAAAAUGGGUGAUAGCUGAGUUAACUUCUAUACAACUGUCUUGGUUGUACAAAUGCAUGGAGACCCUUUAAUGUAGGAUAGGCCAUUUUGAAAUAAACCCCUCAGCUAUUAUUUAUUGGAUUGAGACCGCCCUCAACUCCAAAGUUUUUGGAAUUAAGUGAUAGUAAGUCAAAAAAAAUUGAAGUUUUAUAAAUUCAAAUUUAAUGACUUUAAUUGCUUUUCAGUAAAUGAAAUUAUCUUAACUAACGAUUAAUAACUAGUAGAGUCAUUAAAUUUGAUACAUAUACACACACACACACAUGCACGCACUUAUCGAGUAUGAAAUCUCAAAAAAAAAAAAAAAAAAAAAGAACUUGAGGGGUUCUCGAACCAAAAGAAAAUAGUUGAGGGGGCCAUUUUACGGUGGCCUAUAGUUGAGGGGGCCUCUAUGCAUUUUUACCUUUCUUGAUUGAUUUGGGGUAAAAACAUAUGGAACUCACCUAAACUAUGACCCAUUUUGAUUUGACUACCUAACCUUUAAGAAUUUUUUUUUAAACUGACUAAUCUUUCAAUUUAUUUGAUUUGAGCUAUUUGGUAACUCUUUUUCUUCAAACUCCAGAUGUAAUGUUUAUUAUAAUAGACUUAAUUAGAAUAUUUAUGUGCGAUUCACAUGACUACAUUCUUAUUAGGGCCUGUUUGGUUCACAGUUUGUAAUAUUCUAGAAAUCCUCCAUAUUUUCUAUUGAAAAUAUUCAAAUCAGUACCAUUCAACUCAAGUUGGAUAGUUGUAAAAGGUUUUAAUGAAGUAGUGGAAUUAUUGUAGAUUUCUAGAUGGUAGGAAUACAAGAUUGUCAUGGGUUAGGAGGUAUCCUCAUUAUAGGAAUUAUUAGCAGUCCAUUAAUAAAAAUAUACUAGUUCUUAACAAUCUCUCCCCAAGUGGAUUGCUGGCUUGGUUAAUUUAACAUAGUUGACAUUCCUAAUAUAAAAUAUACAACAUUUUCGGAAUAUUACAAACCUUGAACCAAGCGGCCCCUUAAAGUAAGCAGUAUGCUCAGCUUUUGGAAGAGAAAAGUAACCAAAUGACUUAAUUCAAACCAAUUUAAACAUGAGGCACCAAAAUUAAAACUUUUAAAGGCUAAGUAGUCAGAUUAGGACAGGCCAUAAUUUAGGCAUGUAAGUUCCAUAUGUAUUUACCUUUAUUUAUUUUAUGGUAUCUUUUCAUUUUCUGUCUAGUGAUGUUGAAAGUUAGGGGAAAAGUUCCGAGCGCGACCUAAACUUUGCCUGGAUUGCAAUUCACCACCUGAACUAUAAAACAUUGAAAUUAGGUUAAAAAUGAACUGACCUGAAGUAUGGCCCAUUUAUAAGACAACCCAAAAUUUGAAACUUUUGAUUUUACUACCUAACCUAUCUGUUUACUUUGGUUGAAGCUAUUUGGUGACUCUUUUUGCAACGUAAUUAUGUGUCGUUUGUUUUAGAAGACUUGUUUGGUGUAUUUCAUUUGAUUUAUGUGGUUGCACUCUUUCUAAAGUAGCUCAAAUUUUAUGAAAAAAAUAAUCAUCAAAUGACACAAAUCAAAUGGAUUGGGAGGUUAGGUAGUUGAAAGUAAAGCUUUUAAAGGUUAGAAAGUCAUCCGAAAACAGGCUAUAGUUUAGUUCAGUUUCAUAUUUGCCUAAAAUUUACCAUCUAAACAAGCAUCCUGUUGCAAUCCACCACAAAGUCUCUUUUUUUGUCAAUUUGCCUAGACAUAUGUUAGAAAAAUUAUUUAGCUAGUUGAACACAAGAAAGGGCAAGGCAGUCGUUUCACUCGAAACGUGACUCAUGUGCCAUCACACGACUACCGAACAUCUAACAAAUUGACAAAAAUAUAGGCUUUGUGGUGGAUUGCAGUGGAAUUAUUCUUUAGGUAUGGUUCGGGCAAAGAUUAGGUGAUUUUCGGGUUUUCUAGCCCUGAAAUUAUGUUCAAGAGCUAUACUACUGUUGCAAUCCAAUUACAUGUCAGAAGUUAUAGAUUUAAUUCAACUUUAAUUACAUCUGGAAUGGAGAAUAAUUGUGAUAUUUCAUCAUCUAAUUCAUGCUGUGUUGAGUUAAUAUAUAUAGUUCUUGAUUGUAGCUGCAGGUUUUUAGUUAGGAAAAUUAACAUAUGCAUACACCUUAGACUCGAUAACUUAGGGCUUGUGGUAUCUUAAGAAAGUAGCAAUUGAUUUAAGUGCUUUAUUAGUUUGUAUUCUUCAUAACAGUGCGAAGAAAUUGGGAGCGAGCUGCUUUGUAUCAGAGCUUCUGAUGAGCUUAAGUUUUAGGGAGAACGGCAAAAAGCCUCUGGUGAUAUAGUGCGUUUGCAGUUUAUACCACACUGGUUUAAAGUAUAGUCUUGAUGCAGCAUUUUGCUACCCUUUUUAACAGCAAGGCAUUUUGGGAAACUAAAAUCAUAUGGGGCGGGUAGAUAUAGGAUGUGGAGGAUCAUAAAAUGAGUGGUUUGACAGAUUUGGAUUCCUAUAUAUCCACAAAUCUAUUGAGUUGCUUGCUUAUACUGAUUUCUUUUUUCUUUUGAAUCUUUGGGUUGCGUAUGUUGAUUUAGUCAAAGAAUCUAAUUUUCUGCUGUAUUUAUAAUCUUCGAAAAUAAUAGUAACUUCUGAAAACAACAAAAGGACAUCGAUGCUGAAGAAACCUUAUUUUCCAUAUCCUAAACCAACUAGCAGGAGAGCAAAAUGUUACAUAUAUCAUAUAUGUGCUGAUGUCAUUUUUUAUAAAUAAUUCUUAGACUUGUUCACCUUCGCUCAUUCGUCAAUAAUGUGGUUAAGUACUCGUCAAAUGCAAUUGUGUGCAACUUAUUUAAUUUGCAGGCAGAGGUUGAUAGAUGCAACUUAUGAAAUAGCAACAAUAUGGCUUGACUAUGAGUCUUCUAGGUGAUGAUAUAAUCUAAUUUUGUGGAUGAUGGUUUCAUGUUGAAUCGUUGAUGCAUGACAACCCCUUCACUCGCCUGUUAUUAAUUGUGCAUACUAGCAGGCAAGACGAUCCUAGUGAAUAAGUUUUCAUUGCAAAUGCUUCAUUUUCAACAUACUAAUAUCUAUUUCCUCUUUAGAGCAAGAUACAUGAUCAUUUAGUUCAUUAUCUGCAUAGUUAGCCAGGAAAGCUUCACUUCGUCUUAAACUGUGUUCUACUUGUUUGUUUGUUACAAUUCUUGUCAACAUACUAAUAUCGAUUUCCUCUUUAGAGCAAGAUACAUGCUCAUUUAGUGCAUUAUCUACAGAGUUAGCCAAGAACGCUUCACUUCUCAAACUUUGUUCUACUUGUUUGUUACUAUUUUGUACCUGAUUUUUCUUUGUAAUUUUCUAGGUUCGCAUGCUGUUGUUGAGUUGGAUGAAGAUGUGAAGAUGGCUUUGCUACUGGAUGAUAUAAAUGCAUACUCUUUUCUGUACCCUGUUGAAUUGCCUGCGAAGAAAUUUUCCUUUAAGUGGUAAUUUUCAUAAUUCAUCUGCUCCGUCUAUCAUAGUUUGGUACUAUUUAUUGCUUCUUUUUGUUGAUUCAUUUACUUCUUAUCUGUGCUUGAAGUUUUAUAUAGUAUUUUACUGAAAUUCUUCGCGGCAACAUGAUACUGAUCUAAUAUCGAAAAUUGAAUCAAAAGAUCAACUUAAAAAUGAUUAUUAUCUUCUCAUUUCAGGAAGAAAAUGGAAUUCAGAUAAUGUCAACUUCUAUUUGAUCUGUUUCAAUUGCAUUAAAUCAACCAGAAUAUGUCUUCAGUAAAGCUGCAUUUCUAGAGUUAAAGACCGGUCCAGAAAACAAAUUCUCUUGAUCGGUUGAUCUCCUAUUGACACUCCCCUGCAUUCUCCACCCCCUCUUUUUCUCUGGCAGUGUUGCCGGUUACUGCAUAAAUAUCGGUUUACGAAAAAAAAAAUGAUAUUGCAUAUUUUAUUAUCUUAUGGUUGGAGCUGUUGUUGUCUCGAUUGUUCCUUUGCUACAUUGAUUUUGAAUUAGUGGCUUACAUUUUUCCAUGUUGCAUUUGGUAGAUGCGAUAACAUAAAGAUCUUUUCCUAUGUUAAGUUGAUCAAAUCUAGCUAUUUUUCUUCUGUUUGCAGGGUAGAGUCCAGAAAGCCGGAAAGAUACUCAUCUGCUGCACCAUUAUCACGUGAGCUCCAUAUCUCAUUGAACAUUGAUGUUGAGUAUUGCUGCCGUUCAGUUGCAAUACUUUGACUUAGUUAUUUAAUCAUUAUUCUGUUUCAGUUCUCUAGACCAUUAGCUUUUUGAAUUCUUUGUAACAUUUAGUGUCAACAAAAAUUGUUACUAAUUAAUAUAUUACAUGUUAUGCAGCUGAUGCGCGACAACGCAUUGUCUCUGAGCGUGUUGACAUGAUCAAUAACCUUGUCAUCUCUGUCUCGGUAUACAUGGAAAUAACUGUUCCUUCCAUAAAAAAGUAGAGUAUAUUUACUAACAGAAUCCUAUGAAUUGGUAGCUUAAAUAUAUAACCCUGUAAAUUCUGCUUUUUCAGAUACGCGCUUAAAAGAUGUUCUUUUAUAUAUGCCUUCGUACUUGCAGAAAUUUCCCUCUGCAAUAAAUGGUUAUACUAUGAAACACUGCUUUCCUUUGUAUUUGAUGAAAUUCCGACCUAUAAGUAAGGCUGUUUUGGGAAAAAAAACUACAUUUCAAUGGUUAUUUAAGAAAAUUCGCCUUUUGCGCAGAACACAGUAGAGAAAUUUAUAUGUAAUAGAUGAUUUUUGCAAGCUAAAUAUGCAAAGGCCCCUACAUUUCUAUUCAGCUUACCAUUGUGUUGUUUUAACUUCCUACAAGUUGAUCAUGCUAGUGCCGAGCAAUAGAGCCUUCUGAUAUUUUUACCUGCUAACUUUGAUUAAGUUGUAAAUGCUCCUGUUCCUUAUAAAAAAACCCAUUUUGAGUAGACAAUUUCUCCUGAUUAAAUCUGAGCUCUUUCCACCAUCUCAGUUCGAGAUUUUUAAUUUUUAUUCUUUGUUGCAGGUUGGUCCUCUGAAUUCACGCUUCCUAACUUCAAAUGACAAGAGUACGUGGAAAGCAAAAGAUGUUGCUGAUUCUGUUCUAUCUGAUAAAUCUGCAUUGGUAUUCAAUUGCUAUAUCUGCAUAAAGUAUCGAGAGAUCUCAAUAUAUGUGAUAAGCAACCUGCAUUCACAACUAUGAUUUAAUAAAGGUUUACAUGUUAGUGAGCUUUCUUGAAGUACACCGAAACAGAUCCUAUAAUUUGGAAAUAAUGGAACUAGUAUAAAUUACGUAGAUUUCCAUAUUAUAUUGAGUAGUACUGCUUGUUUACAUUGAUUGAGGAACUUCUUUUGCAGCGUGUAACAACUAGCCAGCGCAUGGCUGAGAGUUCAGUUCUUGAUGCACAUUCCACAACUGUAAGAUUUUGUCGACAUAUGAGUUGAUCUCACUUUCCUUUCUAAAAGCAUUUGCCUUUAUAUUUAACUGUUACACUAAUAACAUAAUUGUACUGUAGGUUGAUGGUGAACCAUACUGGUAUUAUGAGUAUCUAGUUCGAAAAUCACCAACAAAUUCUGUGAGUCCUCGUAUAUCUCUUAAGUGUCUGGUUCUUGUUACUUUGUUUUCCACAAUUUCCACUAACAUAUUAAAUUCGCGUAUAGGCAGGUAAAUGGUACUCAUGAUAAUUUAUAAUUUCUCAGGUGCAAGAGCCAAAUUUGUACCGGCACAAUGUGGCAGCCACUGCUGAGCGAGAUGGUAUUAUUAGCUCAUGAACUUCUAUUUCUUUGCGUUUGUUUCAUUGAUUUUAAUCCAACUCUAGGCUCACCAUAGAUAACAACAUUAGCCAAAAAAAAAAGCUACGUUGUGCUAGUUCAAAAAGCUACAUAUAUACUGAAAUGCUGUUGUGCAAUCUUGUUUCUAUUUGUUAUCGUGAUUUUCUUGGUUUCUUUGAUAAUUUAUGUGACAAUCCUGAACCAUAGAGACCACUUAAACUAGUGAAAUUUGCAAACCUAGCAUCCUCAUUUUCUUUUUCUUUCUAUGUUUUGGUGAUUUUCUCUUCUUUACUUCUUUUUUUUUUUUAUUUUUUCUUUUUAAACUGCAUCCAUACGGCUCUCAUAUGGUUCCAUUCUGAUCAGGCUAUCUUUACUCACUGAAUGCUUCAACUCUCAGCAAGCAAUGGGAAAAAGUAAGUUGUUGCAUAAUAGAUAUCUCUUUUGGUUGUUAGUAUUUCCUUAACUUUCUUUGAGGUGCAGGAUUUUAUUUUGGAUUAAAUACUAGUAUAUCUCUGUUAAAGUAUUAUAUGCAUUCCUGAUUGGUAUUAUGCGUUUGGUUGGCCUUUGUGCUUGCACCUGUGUUUGCGGCACGCAACUGCAAGGCCAAGCCUUUUUGAGAAAGCUCCGAUUUCAGAGCUUUCUCAAAAAGCUCUGCUAACGGGCUGCACUGCUUGGCCAAACAUGGCCUAUGUCAUCUAAAAUUUAAUUUUGAUGUACUUUACAGUUUAUGACCAAUGUGGUCUAAGUUUGUUGUCAUGUUGAUUAAUAUAACAUCGCAGUUGGGUUUGAUCUUAAUAACCAUCAUGAUGCUUAUGUACACGGUGACAUGGUCUUGAAGUCUAGCUUUUGUGAUGGUAAUUUUGCAUGGUAGAGGUUGAGAGCAAGGUCGGAAGUCAAAUAGGGAAAACAUCAUCCAGAUGAGACUAACCUCACUGGUUCUUAUGAGUGAUUGAUACCGUAUUAGAAUUUAUGAGUGAUUGAUACCGUAGUAGGAUUAGAUGGCAUAAAAAAGCAAGGAAUCCAUGAGGAGAAAUAUAAUUAAACUUGGUUGGUACGUCCAGCAAGGAUCAGUUAGGUAGAAUUUUAAGGCUGUUGUGACCUCUUUCUAUCGCAAUAAAUGAUUUUCAGUAGUAGCUGGAACAUCUUUUCAGUGAAAAAUCUCCUGGACUGGUUUAACAGUUUACUUUUUAUACUAUGCUAAAGAGAUAGAAGGACAAAGAUGUUUGGUCAUUGAAGGUCUUCGGAGUCUUGACCUUAGCCUGCUCUAGCUUUUAACAAAGUUAUGCCAUAAGUUCUUGGAUAAAUUUCACUACCCAUUAGAUGGUUCCGUUGUAUCACUUAGGUAUCCUAUAGUUACUAUAUCUAUUUUUUUUGAAUGAACUUAUUUCCUUCCAUCAAAAGUAAGCAUGUAACUGUCCCGUACACCAAUAAAACACGUAGAAACCAUCUGAUCUGUUGUGUGGGGAUGGCGAGUGAACCAGAGAGGGUCAAAUGCUAGUAUUUGUAAGAGAUUUCGAAUCGAAAUCAGGGAAGAAUUUGGUAAUUUGAGGGGAAUCAAAGGUCCCUAUGGCUGAUAGAAUUAGUUUCUGGUUGUUUAUAGAUGCAUGCGCCAGUCACUUGAUUAUUUUUAAUAGACGAUUAAUUGGAGUUAUUUAAAGGAAACUAGAGCAGUAACCACAGGGCUCGUAUGUGAUCGGAAUGAAACUACAGUGUAACAAUGUGAAAAUAUGCUAAAUCCUGUGUGGGAGAGCAAAUUCAUACAAAGUGUUGAUGUCUUCAGCCUUUAACUAGUACCUUAUAUUUUGCGAUUAUGCAGAUGGGGCCUUUUCUAGAGAGAACAGUGGCAUCUUUUCGCCUUCUCCCGCCGACGGAGAACUAUGUCCCGCCGUACAAGGACCCAUGGAGAUUUUGGUGACAAAGAGCCCUCGUUUUGCCUUAUCCACCUAUUUUCAUCUUUCUGCAUACUUUUUUGCUCCGAAGGCCCUAUUUGAAUGCUGGAAUAAGUUAUUCAAUGAUAUUCUAUUUGGUACGAGGAUUUUUAAUUAUGAUUGGAAGCUAGGAGUGUGAUCAAAUGUCUAUAAUGGAAUAGCAUAUUCGGUCAUCGAGUCAUUUUUUCCAAAAUGAGGUAAAUAACAUCAUAAGUGAAAUAUGCUGCUAACCUUUCGAAUAGCGAAAAUCAAACUUUUUUCUUACAAUCAUAAGAAAAAAUCCUCAUAAUAAGUAAGUUAUCAUCGAACAACUUAUUCUGAUAUUCAAACAGGCUCGAAGUGAAGUAGUGAACAAAAAUUUUAAUGAGGUGCUGCAAGGCUGUGAAGUGAACAACAAUUUUGUGAGGCAUCAGUUUGGGCUUCUUUUUCCUUUUCUGCCUCCAUGGCUUGUAAAGUGAUGUUUAUGAUAUGUGUACAUUUAUGACAGGCCAUCAAGUCUCUAAGAUAAGAAAUUUUGUUUUUCAAGGCAGUAAUGUAUGAAACACUAGUCACCACUUUUGGCUUCUAUUUUGUUAUGGUCUGUUAAGAACUCUUUUAUGUUGCUGCAGACAGUGAGGAGAGGAUUUUAACAAAUUAUAGCUGAUCUUGAUCUUGAUCUUGGUUGUUUUAUUAGACCAUUAAACAAGCGAACGCCUUAUGUCAAAUUUGAGAAUUAGCGAGAUCGACUCCUAGAAUUAUAAUAGUAUUUAUUCGGUUCGAUUCCAGUUUCUCUUGUAAUCCGAAACUAACCGAACCAUUUCCGCUCCUGCUCAUUGUGAGCAAAAGUCAUCUUCAGUUGAUAUACCAUAGUAUUUUGAGAAUGACACACAAAAACCGCACCUGUGGACUCUGCAUAUAGUAUCUAAAAGAUAAAAGUAAGUUUUAUCGUGCGCCGGGUGCACCAUACAUAUCCUAUUUUUUUCUCCCCUAAAUUUUGUUAUAACUUUGUAUAUAUAUAUAUAUAUAUAUAUAUAUAUAUAUAUAGAGGGCCUCUGUGCUUGUAAGUUGUUUUCGAUUAUAGGACAUCCGAUUUGACGAUCCGCUCCAUUAAGCAUAAUCUACGCUAUUGGAACUAUCCAGAAACCAAAUUUUAUAAUUUUUCGACAUCAUUUACCAAGCGAUCACAGGGUCUCAAAAAUGACUAUUUUAACGGCCGAUGUGGCACAUUUUUAAAUUUAACGGUGUAGAAGUUUCCAAAUUAUAUGAAAUUUUAAUAAAAAAUUCUACUUAACAUUAAGAGUAAGAACAAUACUUUCGAUUUGAAAUUUGAGUCUUUUAUCACUGUUUUUUAUGAGAUUUUUAUUUUCAGCCGUUCAUUUGAGGCUACUCGUUCACUAGGCAAAUAAAGUCAAAAAAUUAUGAAAUUUGGUUUCUAGAUAGUUCCAAUAGUGUAGAUCAUGUUUAACGGAACCGAUCGCCGAAUCGGAAGUCCCAUCAUCGAAAACAACUUACAAGCACGGAGGCUUCCGUACUUUCGAAAGCAUAAGAGCCUAACUCUAUAUAUAUAUAUAUCUCUAUAUAUGUUUACUAACCCCUAUGUAUAUAUCUCUGUAUAUGUUUACGAACCCCCUUUUAUUUGGCAGAUGCUACAAUCCCCCCUCGCUUGAGAAGAUUCGCGACCUCAAGGAUCGAAGUCCAGGAAUUGGAAUUUCAAGAACCGAUAGUCUUCCCAGCUCGCGGCCUCCUUUCCGAGGUUCUCGCACUCGACCCGCACUUGGCUUACUGCUUGAUUUCCCCUCCUGAUCAUAUGUCGGUCCAANNNNNNNNNNNNNNNNNNNNNNNNNNNNNNNNNNNNNNNNNNNNNNNNNNNNNNNNNNNNNNNNNNNNNNNNNNNNNNNNNNNNNNNNNNNNNNNNNNNNNNNNNNNNNNNNNNNNNNNNNNNNNNNNNNNNNNNNNNNNNNNNNNNNNNNNNNNNNNNNNNNNNNNNNNNNNNNNNNNNNNNNNNNNNNNNNNNNNNNNNNNNNNNNNNNNNNNNNNNNNNNNNNNNNNNNNNNNNNNNNNNNNNNNNNNNNNNNNNNNNNNNNNNNNNNNNNNNNNNNNNNNNNNNNNNNNNNNNNNNNNNNNNNNNNNNNNNNNNNNNNNNNNNNNNNNNNNNNNNNNNNNNNNNNNNNNNNNNNNNNNNNNNNNNNNNNNNNNNNNNNNNNNNNNNNNNNNNNNNNNNNNNNNNNNNNNNNNNNNNNNNNNNNNNNNNNNNNNNNNNNNNNNNNNNNNNNNNNNNNNNNNNNNNNNNNNNNNNNNNNNNNNNNNNNNNNNNNNNNNNNNNNNNNNNNNNNNNNNNNNNNNNNNNNNNNNNNNNNNNNNNNNNNNNNNNNNNNNNNNNNNNNNNNNNNNNNNNNNNNNNNNNNNNNNNNNNNNNNGGUUUACUACCGAUUUGUUUUUGAUGAUAGAGCUUCCAAAUCGACGAUCGGCACCGUUGAACAUGAUCUAGACCAUUUAAAUGAUCUAGUAAUCAAAUUUCAUGAUUUUUUGGCAUCACUAACUAAACGAUCAAAGGGUCACAAAAUCUAUAAUUUUAAUGGCCAAUAUGGUGAGUUUGCUCGUUUAACGAUAUAGAAGAGUUCAAAUCAAUUAAAUUUUUGUUAAAAAAUUUAUUAAACUAUUUAAAAUAAGAUCUAGAACCUAGAUCUCAAAUAUAAAAAUUGUAUCAUCACUUUUUGAAGGAUAUUCAUUUUCAGCCAUUCAUUUUUCUGUUCACUUGAUGGACAAGAGAACAAAAUCGAAAAUGUGUAAAAUUUGAUUUUCAGAUAGUUUAAAUAAUUUAGAUCAUGUUUAACGGUGCCGAUCAUCAAUUUGAAAGCUCUAUUAUCGAAAACAAAUCGGUAGUAAACCGAGCCGUUUACUACCGAUAGUAUUCUAGCAAAACUCUAUAUGAGUUUGACUGGGCUACUAUCGGUAAUAAACGAUUUGUUUUUGAUGAUAAAGCUUCCAAAUCGACGAUCGGCAUUGUUGAACAUGAUCUAGACCAUUUAAAUUAUCUAGAAAUCAAAUUUCAUGAUUUUUUGGCAUCACUAACUGAACGAUCAAAGGGUCACAAAAUCUAUAAUUUUAAUGGCCGAUAUGGUGCGUUUGCUCGUUUAACGGUAUAGAAGAGUUCAAAUCAAUUAAAUUUUUGUUAAAAAAUUCUUUAAACUAUUUAAAAUAAGAUCUAGACUCNUAGAAAAUUAUUUUUACUAUUUAGAGUAAGAUCAGUACCUCUGAUCUUAAAUUUAAGUUUUCUAUCAUAAUUUUUUAUAAGAUUUUUAUUUUCAGCUGUUCAUUUUUAGACUACUCGUUUGAUAGGUAAAUGAUUCCGAAAAGUUAUGAAAUUUAGUUUCCAAAUACUUUCAAUAGUGUAGAUCAAGUCUAACGGAGCCGAUCGUUGAUUUGGAACUGGCAUCAUUGAAAACAACUUUGUAGCAUGGAGGCGUCCGUGCUACCGAUAGUAUACUAGCCUAGCUCUCUCUCUCUCUCUCUCUCUCUCUCUCUCUAUAUAUAUAUAUAUAUAUAUUUUUUGAGAGACAUGUACCAUGCUACCUGCUUCAUUUUUUUUUUAGAAAUAAAUUUAACUGAAAAUGUGAAUCAACUACGGUUCGAACUUGGGACCUCGGAUAAUAACCACCAAGCCUUUUGCCACUUUCACUGGGGACGUAGGUUUAGGGCUGAUAUUUUGACUUUAGGGUUUAGGGUUUACAUUUUAGGGCUUAGGUAUUAGGGUUUACAUUUUAGGGCUUAGGUAUUAGGGUUUUAGGGUUUGAUAUUUGAGUUUAGGAUUUAGGACUUACAUCUUUGUUUGGUUCGAGGUUAAGGGGGGGAUAACCCCUUAACCCCGAAGUUAAUCCCUAACCGGGGUGGGGUUAACAAACCCCACCCUUAUCAAGUUAUCGGGUUAAACCCACACCCCCACCCUCCUCCCCUCCGAUGGAAUUGGGGGGGGAUUAACUUUAAUCCCACCUAGAGAUGUCAACGUGUCGGAUUCAGGGUGGAUUUUCAAAAACCCGAACUCGAAUCCGACUCCAAACCCGAGAGCCAAAUCCGAACGCGAACCCGAACCCGACGGAUUUUAAAAAUCCAUAUUCAAACCCGAACCAGACCAAAAAUUUGAAACCCGAACCCGAACCCGAAAAUUUGAACCUGAAACAAUUAUUUUUUUUUACAAUAUUUCAAAAUAUAUUAUAUUAAAUCUUAAUUUUUAAAAUACAAAUUCAAAUAUAACAUCUAAUAUAUAUAUAUAUAUAUAAUUCAAAAUAAAUUUGGGUUCGGGUUCGGGUUCGGAUCGGGUACAGUCAAAAUUCAUAUCUGAAUCCAUGUCCAUUGGGUUUCUAUUUUUACUAUCUAUAUCCAAAUCCAUAUCCAUUUAGUAUCGGAUAUAUCUAUUUCAUACGGGUUCGGGUUCGGAUAAACUUUUGGAUAUCUAAACCCAUUGACAUCCCUAAUCCCACCCCAAUUCAAAUUUUUAAUUUAAAUUUUUAAUUAAAAUUUUAAAUUUGAUUUUUUAAAUUUAAAUUUGUAUUUUAAUUUUUUUAAAUUUAAAGAUUUGUAAGCUUAAAAUUUUGACAUUUAAUUUCAAAUUAUUAAUUUUAAAUUUUAAAUUUUAAAUUAUUAUUUUUAAUUUUUUAAAUUUAAAAUUUAGUAUUUGAUAUUUUUAAAUUUAAAUUUAAUCAUAAAUUUAAAAAUUUAGAACUUCAAAUUUUUGAAUUUGAGAUUUAAAAAUUAAUUUUUAUUUUGAAUUUUUAAAAUUUUAAAGUUAUUAAUUUAAAUUUAAAAUUUUAAUUAUAAAAUUUAAAUAUUUAAAUUUAAAUAUAAAGUUAUUUUUUUAUUUAUAACAACUCAUUAUCCUUCUUAUCCCAUCUACUCCAACCAAAUACUAUUUUAUUUAUAUCUGGACUAAACCCAAUUCUCAACCAAAUACAAAAUCACUCUAACCCUACCUUAACUCUGAACUUAACCAUAUCCCUGGAAUAACUAGUUCUUACUUAACCCCGAACCAAACGAAUAGGGUUUAGUGGGUGGUUAAUUGAAUAGUAUGAUCCAAACAAUGAAAUUGAUUAAAGUAUAGAUCUAACAGCUAAAAAAUCGAUAGCAACAGAGUCCAAAUACUAUUAAUAGUAUUCCAGCUCAACUCCAACGGCUACAAUCUUAUUAAUAGCACAAAGCACUUGAUGCUACCAAGUUUUUCGCCGUUAGAUCUAACUCUUUGACCAUUUCAUCCUUUAGAUGAUACUAUUCCACCAAUCACCCACUAAAUCUUAGGGAAUUAUUAUCAUCCUAAACACACAUCCCUGCAUUCAAGGGCCGAAAAUCUAAGAACACUAAUGAAUUGUUACUAUUAAUAGUAUUCUAAUCAAGUUCUAUACACAUUUGUAUAUAUAAGUUAUAAACAGGUUAACCUGGUUUCACGGAUGAACCUGAAUACAAACUGUUUAAUAAACAGAUUAAUUUGUUUCUGAUUCAAUUCAAUCUCAGCUAAACCCAAAUAGCCAACUUUUUGUUGGACCGUUUCGGAUUGAGAGGAAAUAGUGACACUCCUAAUAAAUUAAGAUUACGAAAUAUCAAAAUAUUUUACUUUCCAAUCAUGUUUAAUCAAAUAACCGCAACAGAGCCAAGCCAUAAAAUUACUUUCCCUGGUAGAUACGAGGCUGUACAAUACCUUCCCCAUUCCACUCUUACUCGGAAUAGUUUUCAUUAUAAUAGUUAUUAAUUACGUAAUUGAAUAUAUUUCAACAUAACUAUACUUGCUCCGCAGAAGAAAAAAAAAUAUAUAUAUAAUAUAAUAAUUACACAUUAAAUAAUAUUUUUAAAAAUAUUUUUUUUUGUACUUUUAUACAAUAGAGAGAUUUAAUAUAAUGCUGUAAAUUAGGUGUGUUACAACUUACAACUGUCACGGAGUAUGCUUUGUCCCCUCGUGUCGCCUGCACUCAUCCUUUGCCAGCUGCAACUAGGGAAGUGAACGUACAUCUCCCUACAAUUUAUCCCUGCACUUGGUACAUGGAUAUAUCCGUGGACCACCACCUAUCAACCAUUCAGUAAAUAUUAUAUUUAUAUUUCAAUAAAUUGAGUAUUGGCUUUUCAAAUCGGUUUCGAGUAGCUGAUGAUGGAUAGAUUUGAUCCAAUCUUUGAAUAAAAUGGAUAAUCAUACCGUAUUAUUAUUAGAGUUGUUUGGUUGUACGUAGUUAUAACUGCACUGCGAUUAGAACUACAUGCAUAUUCAAGUCCGGUGCUUAGUUUGGUGCAUUUGAAUUUAAUGCUGCAGUUGGAACUACAGGAAGAACCCAAUUGUAAAGUUAGAACUAUUUACAAAUUGGCUAUAAUUUCAACUGUAGCAAUUGAGUUGAGCGACUUAAAAAAAAGAAGAAGAUAAAUUUACCUAUAUAAUUUCUUUUUAACGAUAUAUAUAUAUAUAUAUAUAUAUAUAUAUAUAUAAAGAGAAAGAAUUAGGCUAGUACAUUCUUAGAAGUAUUGGGCUCUUCGUACUUCCAAGUCGUUUUUGAUGAUUAGACUUUUGAAUCGACGAUUGACUCCGUUAGACUAAAUCAUAUUCGAAGUAUCUAAAAAAUAAAUUUCAUAAUUUUUUUAUAUCAUUUACUUAGUAAUCGAAAAGGCUCAAAAUCAAGGGCUGAAAAUAAAAAUCUUACAAAAUGUGAUGAUAUGUCACUAAAAUUUUAAUUUUAGAUCAAAGAUGUUGAUCUUGUUUUAUAUCGUAUAAAGAAUUUACCAUCAAAAUUUUAUAUAAUUUAGAUAUUUCUACACCAUUAAACUUAUAAACGGCUUACUACAACCAUUAAAAUUGUUGAUUUUUGAGUUCUUUCGAUCACAAGGCAAAUGAUAUAAAAAAAUCACGAAAUUUAUUUUUUAAGUACUUCAAAUACUCGGGAUCUAGUCUAAUGGAAUUGAUUGUCGAUUUGAAAGUCCCGACAUUGAAAACGACUUAGAAGCACAGAAGGCUUUGUGCUUCUUAAAGCAUACCAGCCUAACCCACAUAUAGAGUUAUAUAUUUAUAUUGGAGUUAAUCCUAUCUUCGCAUAUAUGAAGUGAUAAAAUUUUCGUAACACCUUUUUUAAUUGCAUGAAACCAAACAAAUAAAUGAUAAUUACAAUAUUUUCUAUUACAUCGAACCAAACAAGACACAUAUAGUUGUAAUUGCUACAUUUCCAACUGCGUAUAUUUUCAAAUAUAUUGCAUUUCUAAUUUUAUUUUAUUAUCAAUUAGUGGAUUCAGCCUAAUUUAACAAUUCAUUAGGCGAAGACAAAACUAAUUCGGAAUAACAAGCCUCCCAACGAGCCAUUAUUGCUGGAGAACUACCCCACUCUUUUAAUUAGUUUUAUCCCUUCAAACUAAGGAUGUUAACGGUUCGGAUUCAGAACGAAUUUUUAAUAACCCGAACCCGGCAAAAAAUUUAGAACUUGAACCCGAAUCCAAAAUAAUGAUUUUUCUUUUUAAUAUUUCAAACUAUAUUAUGUUAAAUCUAAAUUUUUAAGAGACAAAGUCAAAUAUAACAUCAAAUUUUAAUGGCCAAUUUGCAUAAAAAAUUCACUUAUUUUGGACUUUUGCAAAACCGUGCCACCUUUUUUUUUUUUUAUAGAUUCGGUCCGCUUUUUCAGCAAACUGACCAAAAUACCCUUAUACCUUUUUCUCUCUCCUCUUUUUUUUUUUUUUCUCUUCGACUCUCCUCCACUGUCUCCGACGGCGACGCCUCUCUUACCCUCCUUCGCCUUUCUCGUCCUCUCCCUCUCCCUCCUCCUCUGCCGCCUCCGACGACGAUACAUCUUCACCGGCGCUGACGCCGACGCUGACACCGUGGAGGUCACUGUGGCGCUACAGCCUUGGAGAGGGGGGUCCUCAGCGGGAUCGUUGCCGGCACCGUGGCCGUUGGCAGAGAGGGGUGACCAAAAAAUUAUAAAGAAAGCAAGAAAAAAAAUAAAGAUAAAAAAUUAUAGAAAAAAUGAUGAAGAUGAAAUUGCAUCGUUAAUUGAAAAAAAAAUUAUAAGUUGUAUUACUUAAAAUUUAAACUGUAGCUUUAAAAUGAAAAUUACACUUUUUAAACGAAAAUUACACUCUUUGGGAGAUAGUUUCUCCUCUUAUUGUACUCUUUCAGAUGUAAACUGCAUCCAUUAAGAUGAAAGUUACACUCUUUAAACGGAAGUUGUACUGUUUCUCCUUUUGUUGUACUAUUUUUCCUCUUGUUACACUAUUUUUUAUCUUAAACUGCACCACUUUAAGAGAUAUUUAUACUGUUUCUCCUCUUGUUGCACUGUUUCUCCUCUUAUUGUAUUAUUUUUCCUCCUGUUACACUAUUUUUAUCUUAAACUGCACCCUUUAAGAGGAGAAAUAGUGUAACAAGAGGAGAAAUAGUAUAACAAGAAAAAAACAGUGCAACAAGAGGAGAAACAGUAUAAAUAUCUCUUAAAUUGGUGAAGUUUAAGAUAAAAAAUAGUGUAACAAGAGGAGAAAUAGUGCAACAAGAGGAGAAACAGUGCAACUUUUAUUUAAAGAGUAUAAUUUUCAUCUUAGUGGUGUAGUUUAUAUCUGAAAGAGUGCAAUAAGAGGAGAAACAGUGUAAAUAUCUCUCAAAGAGUGUAAUUUUCGUUUAAAGAGUGUAAUUUUCAUCUUAAAGCUGCAGUUUACAUCUUAAGUAGUGCACCUUAUAAUUUUUUUCGCAGUUAACCAUGCAAUUUUAUCUUCAUCAUUCUUUUUCUAUAAUUUUUUAUUUUUAUUUUUUUUUCUUGCUUCUUUUAUAAUUUUUUUUGGUCAUCCCUCUCCACGACGCUGGCGACGAUGCCGCUAAGGAUCCCCCGCUCCAAGGCUGCAGCGCCGCAGUGACCUCCACAGUGUCGGCGCCGGCGUCGGCGCCGGCGAAGAUGCAUAGUCGUCGGAGGCGGCAGAGGAAGAGGGAGAGAGAGAGGGAGAGGACGAGAAGGGCGGAGAAAGGCAAGAGAGGCGUCGUCGUCGGAGACAGUGGAGGAGAGUCGAAGAGGAAAAAAAAAAAAGAGUCGAGGCGCAGCCUCGGCAGGGUCGGAGGCGAGGAAAGUGCGGGGGUGUGCAGGCGAGGGUAAGGAUGCGUAGGCAUAUUGUCGGCGCCGGCGAAGAUGCGUCGUCGUCGGAGGCGGCAGAGAAGGAAGGAGAGGGAGAGGACGAGAAGGGCGGGGAAGGCGAGAGAGGCGUCGUCGUCGGAAACGGUGGAGGAGAGUCGGAGAGGAAGAAAAAAAGAGUCGCGGUGCGGCCUCGGCAAGGUCGGAGGCGAGGAAGGUGCGGGGGUGUGCGGGCGAGGGUAAGGAUGCGCCGGACAAGCCGCCUCCUCCACCUCCGCCGCUCUCUGGGAAGAGAAAGAAAAAAAGAACGAGAGAAAAAAAAAGAGGAGAGAGAAAAAAGUAUAAGGAUAUUUUGGUCAGUUUGCUGAAAAAGCGGACAGAAUCUGCAAGAACGAAAAAGGUUGCCUGGUUUUGCAAAAGCCCAAAAUAAGUGGAUUUUUUAUGCAAAUUGACCAAUUUUAAUACAUAUAUUAUAUAUAAUUUAAAUAAAUUCAGGUUCGGGCUCAGGUCGGGUACAGUCAAAAUUCAUAUUUGAAUCCAUAUUCAUUGGGUUUUUAUUUUUUGAUAUUCAUAUUCGAAACUAUAUUCGCUUAGCGUCGGAUAAAUUUGUUUUGUUCGGAUUAGGAUUUUGAUAAGAUUACCCAUGGACAUCCAUACUUCAAACAGGUAGCGGACAAUGGCACCUACCUCACAUACGCCACUCAAUCAAGCCCACCUCCCUUAGUUCUCACCUGCUUCUCAUCGUAACUAAACUCACAGCAUCGAAGACUUGACUUGUUUAAUUAAACAAUCUUAAUGAUCUUCGAAAGGAGGAGUGCUUACAAAACGAUUCAAGAUCAGAGGAUUAACAGGCAGCAGCGCCGUCUCCUCGUCGCAACGGAGAGUCUGCGCAGUUUACAGCCCUUCUUCCAUCCGGGCUGUCUGUCAGCCGGUGCUGUAAACCGCACGACUCUUCGUUACGGCGAGCAGACUUGAUCUGGGUAGAAACAAGUAAGCGCGCAGGUAGCUUCCGAUAUAUUAAUUCAUCUUUACCUUUGGGCCCUGUUUGGUUAUCAAAAUCAGAUAUACAAUGAUAGCAUAUUCAGUAUACAAAAUUUUCUUUUACGAUUGAAAGACAAGUAUUCGAUUUUUCUUCUUUGAAAACUCUUGAUAUCUAUAAUUUUGUAGGAUAAUAUAUUUUACCCGCAUAGUAAUUUAUUUUCUUUUCUUGAAAAAAAUAAUUUGAAGGCCGAAUAAUAUACCAAAUAUAAGUUAUUUUAGGAUAAUUUGCUCCGACUUUAAAAUAAGGUCUAAGUGUAAAUCAAUCAGAUGUAGGGUUAGCAUUUGUGUUAAUUCGAUUGAUGCAAACGGCCACAUUAGUGGGCUAAUUAAUUUUAGUUGCACUUUUUUUUUUAACAAAAAAUUUGGGGCAAUUAAAAAUAAAUUCUUAUAAAAUUAGAAUUAAUAUUGCAUAUUUAUUAUAUGUAUUCCUACAAAAUAUUGAAAUUUGCAAAUACAUUCUUUGACUAGUCAGAGGGCUCCAUAUUUUAAUUAAAAAAACUAUUUUGCCCUUUCUCGACGCUCCUAUAAACACAGCAAUCAAAUAAUCUUAAGUGUUAUAGCUUGAUCCUAUCAUUACAAUUAGUUGUCAUUAGUGGUCACGAUAAGGAUAAAAUAGUCAUCAUAAUAUUAAAAUAAGAAAAAUUUUGGCUGGUCUAGAAAUAUAUUUACAAGUUUUAAAAUUUGCAGUAAUAUAUCAAAUAUUUUUUAAGUUCAAAGGAAUAAAUAUGAAACAUCCCACACUUUGUGGGGAUAUAGCAUAAAUUUCUAAUCAUGUAAUUAGUGGAUAAGUGUGGAUAGGCCACAUUUGGGUUUGUGGAGUUAGUGGCCCAAAUUGGUUGGAAAGAGGUCAAAGAAUUGGAUUUACUAGUUAGUGAGGUGAGUUAAUUUGUUUCCUAGAGGAAAAUGGAUACGUACCACUUAUGUUAACAGCUAAAAUUGUACACAAAUAAGCUUUGUGUAACUACUCUGACAUUAUUCUCAAACUUACGAAUUAAGCCUUUGACUUGUGGCAUUUAGUUCAUCUUUUAGGGACCGUUUGGUUAGAUGUAAUUAUAAAUGCAGUAUAGUUAGAGAUGCAUGUAGUUGGAAAUACAGCAGUUAUAACUAUAUGAAUCUUAUUUGGUUGGAUGUAGUAAAAAGCGCUGCAAGUAUAAAUAAUUUGUUUGGUUACAUGCAGUUAAUAAAUAAUUUUUAAAAUUUUAUUAUUUUAUAUAUAUGAUGGUGAGAUUACCUCCAAUGUAAAAAAGAAAAAUAAUUUUUGUUUAAAAAAUAUUGAGCAGGUAAGCAUACCUUUUAUUUAAAAUCACUCUCUCCAACGGCUGUAGUUGGAACUGUGACUAAUUUGGAUGUAGUUCGAACUGCUGUAGUUGGGCCUACUCCUGCAGUUUCUACUGUAGCAGUUGGAGUUAAAUACAUCAAAUCAAACACGAUAUAACGACCCAGCCCACUAGCAACAAUAACUCGUUGGGCCCAACUACAGCCCAAAGUGCUUAAACCCAGUUAUUAUUACUAGUGUCUAAGUCUCUUAUAAACCCAAUGACAACCCCAUUCCCAUCCGAUGUGGGACUAUUGGGGUGUCACAGACUCCCCCUGUUAAGGCCCUGACGUCCUCGUCAGUCCAAUCACACACCCCGGGUAAUGUGAGACUCAUCUCGCUAGCCCGUCAUCCAGACCCUGGCUCAGUCGAGACUCGCCACACAUGUCUAGCUGGUGAACCGGCUCUGAUACCAAAUGUAAUGACCCAGUCCACUAGCAAUAAUAACUCGUUGGGCCCAACAACUGGCCGAAAAUGCUUAAGCCCAGUUAUUAUUACUAGUGUCUAAGUCUCUUAUANUCUCUCUCUCUAUAUAUAUAUAUAUAUAUAUAUAUAGAAUAGGUUACUAUACUAUUUAUAGUACCGAAGCUCUAGUACUAUAGUCUUAUUUUCGAUUUUAGGGUGUUCAAAUUAAUGAUCCAUACCGUUAAAUAUGAUCUAGGGUAUAUGAAGUUCUUAGAAAUAAAAUUUUAGUUUUUUCAAACAUCGUUUACUUAGUAAAUAAAUUAUGUCAAAAUGGACGGUAGAAAUUGAAUAAUCUUUAAAUUUGAGAAUAAGACUUUUAAAUUCAAGAUCAAGAAUGUUAACCUUAAUUUAGAUAGUUUAAAAUAUUUUCUAUCAAAAUUUGAAGAAAUUUAUAUUCUUCUAUAUCGUUAAACUCAAAACUCGUGAUAGUAGCCAUUGAAAAUUGACAAUUUUGAAAUAAUUUGAUCAUAAAAAAUUAUGUCGAAAAAAUAUAACAUUUUAUUUCUAAAAAUUUUAAAUACCCUAGAUCAGUUUUAACGGUGUGGAUCGUUGAUUUGAAUACCCUAAGAUGAAAAACCAGACUAUAGUACCGGAGCCCCGGUAUUACAGAUAGUAUAUGUGUCUAGCUCUAUAUAUAUAUAUAUAUUUAUAUGUAGCUGUAGUUUGAGUACCUUUUGUUUGCUAUAGAAAAUUGUGUAUAUUUUAUUCCACUUGAAUUUUUCAAGAAUUAUUUGUAUCAAAAACAGUUGAUAAAAAUCACACUUUCAUGUAGUAAAUUAUAUAUAUAGGUAUUAUUCUUACAUAACAACAUUUUUGCAAUGAAUAUAUGAGUUUUAAAAGUUUGAUCAAAUAGCAGUAUUCGAGGUUAAAUAGCAAAAUCGAAAUUUUCAAAAUUUAUGCACCUAUCAAAAAAGGUGAAAAAUGAAUGGGCUUAUUUGAACUAUGAUUUAUUUUAAAAUAACUAUCUUCAUUUUGAAAUAACUAUCUAACUUUCAAUAAGUUUUGAUUUUGCUACUCAACGUUUCAAUUCAUUUGAUUUAAACUAUCUAAGAGCUAUAUUAUUACAAAAUUUGAUGCACCCUCAGUUUUAAUUGAAUUGUACUCCUAUAGAUUAUACAAAAUAUUCUAAAUAAUUUCAGUAAGAUUAGCGAUGUACUCAAAUUUUAUAUCGAAAAAGUCAAAAUAGUUAAAAUCAAGUCAAUUAAAAAGUUAGACUAUAAAAUUAAAUAUUUAGAUGAUUAUAUAUAUAUAUAUAUAUAUAGAAUUAUGCUACUAUACUGUCAAUAGUAUCAAGCCGUUGGUACUAUUGAGUUUUUGGCCGUUGGAUGAAAGGAUGUGCGAUUAGGAUGAUAGUGAUCCCUUAGGGUUGAGUGGUUGGUUGGUUUAAUAGUAUAAUCUAACGGGUGGAAAUGAUCAAAGGAUAGAUCUAACGGUAGAAAACUCAAUAGUACCAAAGACUUGGUACUAUCAAUAGUAUAGUAGCCGGACUAUAUAUAUAUAUAUAUAUAUAUAUAUAUACUCGGUUCGAUGGAGUAGAAAAUAUUGUUCUUAUAAAAAAAAAAAUCCUAUGGCUCCUUUUGGAUCGGAGAUAAAGCAAGGAUAACGAAAGUUAUUCCCGCUAUUCCAUCAAACGGGAUAUUUUUUGACUGGAAUAUUUUAUUCUCAUCAAAUCUUUCUAGUCUUGAGUAUCCCGGGAUAGCUUGGGAUAAACUAUUCCAUCUUUUGGGGGAAUAGUGUUAUUCCAAGAUUUAAUUCCAAGCUUCAUUAAGGCCCUGUUUGGAUCGCGGGAUAAGCGGGGAUAACGAAAGUUAUCCCCGCUAUUCCGCCAAACGGGAUAAAAUUUGGCCGGGAUAUUUUAUCCCGGUCAAAUCUUGCUAUUCUCGGUUAUCCCGGAAUAGCAAGGGAUUUGCUAUUCCACCAUUUUGGUGGAAUAGUGCUAUUCCAAUGCUUAAUUUCAAACUUAAUUAAACUUAUAAAUUGAAUUAAACUAAAUUAUAUAAAUAUAAUAUGUUAUGUUAUAUAUUAUAAUACAUUAUUUUUAUUAUAAAAUUAUUAAUUGUACUAUAUUAAUACAUAUUAUUUAUAUUUAAAUAUUAUAAUAAAAUUUAAUAAUAAAUUAUAUUUAAAUAUUAUAAUAAAUUCUUUUUAUUAAAUUUAAAUUUAAGUAGCAUUUUUAAAAAAUUUAUAAAUUUAUUAUAAUAAAUUAUUUUUAUUAAUUGUUCCCACCACUAUUCUUAUUUUAAAAUUUUAAAAAUUUAAAAUUUAAAAUUUUAAAAUUUAUAAUUUAUAAUCUCAAAAUUAAAGUUUAAAAUUUAAAUUAUAAAUUUUAAAUUAUAAAUUUAAAUUUUGAUAUUUUAAAUUUUUGAAAUUUAAAAUUUGAUAUUUGAUAUUUUUUAAAUUUAAAUAUGAUCUUAAAUUUAAAGUUUGAAAUUUAAAAUUUAAAAUUUUGAAUUUUAAAUUUGAGAUUUUAAAUUUCAAAGUUAAAAUUUUAAAUUUAGAAAUAUAAAUUUAAAAAUUUAAAAAUUCAAAUUCAAAUAUAAUAAGUGGAUAAUAUCAUUAUUUUUUAUUUACAAAACCUAUUAUCUUUCUUAUUCCAUCUUACCUAACCAAACGCUAUUUUUUUUAUUCCAGGAAUAACCCAAUUUUAAUCCAAACGCAAAAUUGAUCUAAUCCUCGCUUAUACCUCAAUUUAUACUUAUUCCAGGAAUAGCCACUUUUUUCUUAUCCCCGAACCAAACGAUACCUAAGAGUAUAAAUUAUAUUAAAACUAAAUUAUAUAGACAUAAUAUCUUAUAUAUUAUAAUAAAUUAUUUUUAUUAAAUUUAAGUUUAAUAGAGUUUGAAAAAAAAUAUUUUUAUGAAAUCAUAAUUUAUAAUAAAUUAUAUUUUGGUAAAUAUUAUAAUAAAUUAUUUUAUAACCAAUUAUUUUUAUUAAAUUAUAUUUUAUUUCAAAUUCAACCAUCACUAUCCUCUAUUAUACAUAAAAUUAAUCAAACACAAUUUCAGUUAUUCAUAAGAAUAGCAGCAUUAAUUACAGAUUAAACACAAUUUUAUUUUUAUUCUUAACUAUUCCGGAAUAGUUAGUUAUUCUAGAGAUAAAAAAAUUUAUCACAAUAUUCAUUAUUCCCGAACCAUAUGGGCCUUAAAUUGCACGGAAUCUAUCGUCUUGCCUUUAUCAUGUUUUGAGAUCUUACUGCCACAGUCUACCGAUCAUGUGCAGACGAUAUUAAUUGCACUCAUACAACCUAAACAUGCAUGUUUAGAAUUUCUUUGGCAUAGGCCUAGCUUCUCAUCCUAAUCAAUGCCGCCCUUUUGUUUGUAAUCUUUAACUACGUACCCAUCUCGCUCUGUACUUCUCACUAUGCGUCGCGCAUUCUUCUUUGCUCGGUAGACCCAUUUUACUCAAUAUCUUUUUGUCCAUGGCCCAUGGGGAAGUGUAGUCAACUCCCUUGUAUGAUUUGUUUUAAUAGCUUUGAUCUCAUCAUCCAUAGCUAGCAUAGCACGCUUCCACUUUUAUUACGAACGUACGACUCCUUCGAAAUCUAAAGGCUCAUAGUCAGCAAGGAAACAAAUAAUUAAGUUGUAAUUCAUUUGUUACCUCAUGAUCAUGAACUAUCAUCUAAGGAUAUUCUGACGAACUUGAAGAUGGCAGUAAGGUGGUGGUAAGGGUGUCGGUGAAGAUUCUUUCUGCUCCACCUCGACUGGCUCUUUUAAUUGGAUUUAUUCGAUAUUGUUCUUCCAAUCCUACGAGCUUUCUUCAUUAAACUCUGCAAGAAAUUACUGGCGUGAAAGAAAAAAGCAACAGAAAGAUAAUUUUGAAUUUCAAUUUUUUUAAAAGCCAAAUAUAUAUCACAAAUGAAAACUGAAAGCCAAGAAAUCAAUCCAAUUAAUGUCGAAAUCAAUCCAGUGCCGACGGAUCGAUCAUUCUUAUGUUACGUACUAUGCAAAAAAUUUAACCUAAAUAAAACUCUUAUGUUUAAAGAUCUUACCGUAGACCAGUUGAUCGCUUGAUCUAAAGUACGGUUGGUGGCGUAUGCUUCGAUCACUGUGCUGGGGUUCUGAUAUAGUCGCGCACGUGCCCGGCCUCUAUGCAUAUCUAUACGGAGUCGGCGCAUAUCCGAUUGAUCUUCAUCUCAUGAAGUGGAUGAGUCACGGACCAUCUAAAUAGUGCUAGCAGUCCUUUUGUGAUCCACUAGUCGAUGAAGAUUAGAGAAGUAGAUCAGAGAAAAACACGCACAAGGGAGAGAAAUUGCGAGAGAGGUUGAUCUUAUAUGUAUAUAUACAUCAACAUCCAACAUUCAUCUAAUUAAUCAAGUUGCAUGGCAUUUUAAUCAUAUCCAAUAAGAUUAUUUCAUAAAUAAUCUCAUUUAAAUAUCUUUUGUGAUUAAAUAUUAUCUACUAAUCUAAUUAGAGAUAAAUUUAAAUCUUGCGCAUAAUUCUCAAAUUGAUUCUAGGAUCCUAAUCCAAUUAGGACUAUCAGUAACAGUUGACUUGAAUAAUUAUCUAAUUUAAUUAAGCGGCUUUCUCUUAUUUUUAUUAUUUACGCUAAACUCUUUAGCGAACGACCCUCGUCCAUACGAUUCGGAUGCAUAUAAUUCCUAAUGUGUGUAACUGCAUAUGUUCAUUACCAUUUGUGUAAGGACUGAGGUUUGGCAAUGUAACUAAACUCUCUGUUGACGAUAUUUUUGUGUGUAUUUUAAUUACAAAAACACUCGUCAAGUUUCAGAAAAAAACAAGUUAGAAUAGAGAUUUUAUGCGAUCUUUACUUUUCACUUAAGUGAAUAGUAAUCGGCAUUUCGUUCGGUAGCGUACGCGUAAUAUUGGCUUUGGAUACGAAUCGGGCACCGUUUCGAUCGAUCCAAUAGGUCGUUUUCAAUGGUCCAGCAGUGCCAGGAGUCUUGGUGAAGUCGGAUUUUGGAUUCUGCAAUCCGAGUGCGGAGAAUUGGCAGAUUUUAAUAAUUUAGCAAUGCGCAACUUGGGUUUUGAAAGGGAAAACCUAUUAUUUUAUGUAUGGAUCUGAAUGGGGCUGAUUGUGGAGGUGCUUCUAUGUGAUUUACGCCUCAUGUGGAGGACUCGUCAUGAAAAAUUGGAAAAAGGCUGGACUUGCGCGCAAUGUUAGAAAAUAUGCGGUACCUGAUGCCAUGGUGAAAAUAUAAUUGAGGAUCGUCCUAGACACCUUGAUCUCGUUUACGAGUACCUCUCGAUCCUGUAUCUUGAUCAACUCCUAUGGUACUCUUUCAAAUGACCGGAACGCAAUUAUGUAAUUGCAAUGUCUAUUCCUCUUACAAUGGUGAAAUUAUGAUGGGUUUACAAGCUUGUAUUUUUCACACAAUCAAAAGAGAAAAGGACCAUCCUAUAUGUAUGCCAUUAAUCCUCCUUUCCCAUCAUGAGGAUAACUACCAAGUAGUGGAAGGGGAUAACUACCAACUAGUGAGAUAGUGGAUCCAACUCCCCAUAACCAUUCCCACUAUUUUUCAUAAUCAACUUAAUGGAGCGGGUAACAAUACUAACUCCAUCUAAUAGGUUGCAGGUCGGUCAAAUAGGGCCAUACCGAAAUGGGUCAUAUGACUUAAGUCUAACACGCAAAACUCCAUUUUUGCAUACAUGAAAACUUGGCGACUAGAUUUCUUUAUUCUCACUAACCUUAGCCGCCUCCAACCUCUCCCCCUGCCGCAGCCCCCUCUCCAUUGCAGCCGUAACCCAUUCCCCUUGCCGCCGGUUGGCCAUCCUACACGCCGGAGCAGCGUUGAGGAAAAACCCAUACCCUCUCCCUCCCCCUCACGCGAUCUUUGAUUCGAACCACCUUCUCCCCUUCUUUUCUCUCUCGGAUUGGGAGUUGGAGGAGUAGAGGAUCCCCCUCAGCCUUUGCUUCAUCCCUAGUGCAGUCCCUUCAAACUUUGGACCAACCUUGCCGCGGUUUGCAUUGGCUCGGGUCUAACCUUGAGGGCUGGUCGCAGCAGUUAAGGCGCAGCACCGACUGUGUUUGGACGUAGCCAAAUCCUCCCUCUGGACCUCCCCAACCUGCUGCAACCUUCCCACUUAGCCUAUUUGACAUGACCACAACUUAUAAGUAAAAUAAUAUACAUAUAUAUUUAUAUUUAAAUAAAUUAUGGAUGGGAUUAGAAAGUUCAUAAAUCCAAAUGUGGUACCACUUUAAAAUAUUCACUCCAACAGUUAUGAAAACUUUAUACUUUGUCCCAAGUAUUAAUAGUAUGAGUCAUAGCGGCAAAUACCUAAAAUAGUGAGUACGACCUUCCAUGCACCACAAUACUAUCAACAUCUUGUGCGUAGUAUUUUAUUGUGGAAAACUUUAUGAAUAGAAUAAUCUCAAACAUAUUCAAUAGUCCAAAAUAUUAAAAUAGAUAAUCAUAAAAAACUGAAUGUGAUCACAUAAAUAUCAUAAUAUAAAUCACUUACACAGAAAAUAAACCGUUGAGACCCAUAUUCUUUACAUAUACUACAUACAACCCUGGUGCUAGCCCUUUGGUAAAUGGAUUUGCAAGCAUAUACUGUGUUCCAACAUGAUCUACAGAUAUUAUAUGAUUAUCAACUUGCUCAUUAAUCAUAUAGAGCUUUAUAUCCAGAUAUCGGCAUGAACUAGAGCUUUUGCUGCUGUUGGCAAAAGAAACAGCAGAUUCAUUAUCACAGUAUAUCUGCAGUGGUUUUUCUAUAGAGUCCAUGAUUUUAAGGCCGGUAAUAAAGUUCUUUAGCCAAAUAGCCUGUGAUGAAGGUGAGCUUGCUAUAAGCUCAGCUUCCAUUGUGGAUGACGCAGUUGUCUUUUGUUUAACACUUCUCUAUGUAAUGGCACCCCCUUCAAGUAGGAAGAUAAGACCAGUUAUCGAUUUCCUACUAUCUGGGCACCCCACAAAAUCUGCAUCUGAGUAACCUACAACCUCGAGAUGGUCAGACCUCCGAUAUGUGAGCAUGUAAUCUCGCGUUCCUUAAAGAUAACGCAUGACCUUUUUGGUAGCCUUCCAAUGUUCUAUAUCGGGGUUGCUUUGAGAACGACCAAGUAAUCCAACAACAUAGGAAAUGUCUAGACGAGUACACGUGUGAGCAUAUUGCAGGCUCCCAACACUACAACAAAAUAUAUUUUAGACGACGUUUUUUAUACGACGCUUUAUUCUAGCGUCUUUACAACAUCCGUAGAAGGACACAUGAAUGAUUCCCCUUCGAUCUCAAAUCGACGACGGGGAACACCUCCACGUUUACUUCUUCGUAAUGAUGGACUUUGUGAGCCAUGGUCAAUCGGCACACUCCCACUGACCAUAGGAUCACUCCCACUGUUUUGGGCUAUAUCAUCAUGUGGCCUCAGUGCCUCAUUCUCGCCUAACAAUAGGACAUUUUCAUUAGGUUCUUGCAACUCGUAUAGUGCAAGAUCCUUUUUAAUCUCACCAAUGUCUGGAAAAUCAUUCUCAAGAAAAUUCACAUCGCGUGACUCUAUCUCAGUCAUUCCUCCAUCAGGAUGCUUGCCAUACAUCACAUAGCCUUUCGAGCAAUCAGAAUAUCUAAUAAAAAUUUGUUUAUUUGCUCUAGGGCCUAACUUUCCAUAUUUAUGAGAAGUAUUAUGCAUAUAUCCUGCCGAUCCCCAUGGUCGUAAGCCUUCCAAAUUUGGCUUUAUACCAUGCCAUAGUUCAUAGGGAGUUGAAGGAACUGACUUAGAGGGCACUCGGUUAAGUAUAUAGGCAGCAGUCAACAACGCAUCACCCCAAAAACUAAUUGGAAGGUUGGCUUGCGCCAUCGUAAACCUAACCAUUUCCAAAAGUGUCCUAUUCCUCCUCUCUGCAACACCAUUUUGUUGCGGAGUACCGAAAAUUGUUAACUGUCUGCGUAUUCCCUUUUCCUCACAUGGUUCCCUGAACUGGUCUAAUAAAUACUCUCGUCCUCUAUCAGUACGAAGAACUUUUAGAGUUCUUUCUGUUUGGUUCUCAACCUCCAUUAAGAAGCAUUUAAAAUAAUCCAAAGCUUCUGAACGGUGAGACAACAGAUAUAACGAACUAUAACGGGAGUAGUCAUCAAUGAAAGUGAGGAAAUAGUACGCGCUAUGAGGUGUUCUCACAUUCAUAGGUCCGCCUAUGUCUGAAUGAACUAGCUUCAAUGGAUGAGUUGCUCUACCUACCUUACACUACUAGAAAAUUAGUUAUUAGUAGCAUUUAUUUAUGCUGCUAAAUGAUCAACAAAUGCUGCUAAAAGUUUUAACAGCAUAUGACACCAAAUGCUACCUAUGUCAAUAUUGCUAAAAGUAUUAGAAGCAUUAAUUAUAAAUGCCGCCAAUAUAAAUCAAUUAGUGUUAUUAGGAAUAUGCCGCUAAAAGGGAUUAAAUGCCAAUUUUAAAUUGUUUAUUAGCGGCAUAUAAAUAUAAUGCCGCUAAUACAAAUAUCUGAUUUUAGAAAUUAAAAUUUUAAAAUUUUAAUUUUUUUGAGAUGCUACCAGUUUUAUUUAUUUCUUUUUGUCUUAAACUUUGCUUGAAAUGUGAAUCAACUAGGAUUCGAACUUGAGACCUCGAGUACCAACAACCAAGCACUUUGCCACUUGCGCUAACGGCUAUUAGUUAUAUAUAUUUUUAUUUUUUAUAUUUUAAGUAUUCUAUUUUAAAAUUUUAAAUUUAGAUACUAAAUUUAAAUUUUUAAUUUUGAAAUAUGAAAUUUUAAGUUUCAAAAUUAAUAGUUUUAAAUUUAAAAUUUGAAAUUUAAAAUAAAUUUAAAAAUUUCAACUUUAAAAAUUAAUAAUUUUAGAAUUUAAAAUUUAAAAUAUAAAUUUUAGAAUUUUAAAAUUUAAAUUAUAAGUUUAAUUUUAAAAAUUAUAUGUUUCAAAUUUUAAAAUUUAAUUUUAAAAUUUUUAAUUCUAAAUAAAAAAGGGAUAUAUUAAUAANAUAGGAAAGUGAUAUACAUCUGCUAUAGAACAACCGGCCUUUAUUAUAUCUCAAUUAUUAGUGGUGUGUCUUCACCAACAGGAGAUGAAAACUCGAUUUCCUGUACCCUGUUUGCCUAACACAUAACCCUCAGUUCUAGGUAUCCCUAGCUAGAGUUUUUAAGAAUUCAAACAGAGUUCUCUGAAUGUAAAAAAGAAAACUUUUUUCAUCCCUUUUAACAUACACGCAAUGGCCUUCUUCGAUCAUCACAAAGCCUAUUGAAAUAAUUGCUCUAUGAAAACGUUGAUACUAUUGCCUAGACGAUUGUUUCAAACCGUAAAUAGAACGUUUUAAGCGGCACACUUUGCGCUCUUGUCCUUCGGCUAUGAAACCAAGAGGUUGAUUCAUAUAAAUCUCCUCGUCUAGUUCUCCAUUGAGAAAUGCAGUCUUCAUAUCCAUUUGGAACAAUUCCAAAUCUAAAUAUGCGACGAUAGCCAGAAUCAGGUGAAUUGAGGCAAACCUCACCACUGGGGAGAAUGUCUCUUCAUAGUCUACUCCCUCAUUUUGGGUGUAUCCUUUCGCCACUAGUGAGGCCUUACAUUUAUCAAUUGAUCCAUCCGCCUUCCGUUUUAUUUUAAAAAUCCAUUUAUUUCCAAUAGUUUUACGUCCAGACGGAAGAUCAACUAACUCCCACACAUUGUUCUUAGCCAUAGAACUCACCUCAUCCUCCAUAGCAGCUAGCCAUUUAUCACAAACUGGUGAAUUCAAAGCUUCAGCAUAAGAAGCCGGCUCAUCAACAUCCGUAGAAGCACACAUGAACGAUUCCCCUUCAAUCUCAAAUCGACGACGGGGAACACCUCCACGUUUGUUUCUUCGUAAUGAUGGACUUUGUGAGCCCUAGUCAAUCGGCACACUCCCACUGACCAUAGGAUCACUCCUACUGUUUUGGGCUAUAUCAUCAUGUGGCCUCAGUGCCUCAUUCUUGCCUAACAAUGGGGCAUUUCCAUUAGAUUCUUGCAACUCGUAUAGUGCAAGGUCAUUUUUAAUCUCACUAAUGUUUGGAAAAUCAUUCUCAAGAAAAUCCACAUCACGGGACUCUAUCUUAGUCAUUCCUCCAUGCCAUACAUCACAUAGCCUUUCGAGCAAUUAAAAUAUCUAAUAAAAAUUUGUUUAUUUGCUCUAGGGCAUAACUUCCCAUGUUUAUGAGAAGUAUUAUGCACAUAUCCUGCCGAUCCCCAUGGUCGUAAGCCUUCCAAAUUUGGCUUUAUACCAUGCCAUAGCUCAUAGGGAGUUGAAGGAACUAACUUAGAGGGCACUCGGUUAAGUAUAUAGGCAGCAGUCAACAACGCAUUGUCCUAAAAACUAAUUGGGAGGUUGGCUUGCGCCGUCAUAGACCUAACCAUUUCCAAAAGUGUCCUAUUCCUCAUCUCUGCAACACCAUUUUGUUGCGGAGUACCAAAAAUUGUUAACUGUCUGCGUAUUCCCUUUUCCUCACAUAGUUCCCUGAACUGGUCUAAUAAAUACUCUCGUCCUCUAUCAGUACGAAGAACUUUUAGAGUUCUUUCUGUUUGGUUCUCAACCUCCAUUAAGAAGCGUUUAAAAUAAUCCAAAGCUUCUGAACGGUGAGACAACAGAUAUAACGAACUAUAAUGGGAGUAGUCAUCAAUGAAAGUGAGGAAAUAGUACGCGCCAUGACGUGUUCUCACAUUCAUAGGUCCGCCUAUGUCUGAAUGAACUAGCUCCAAUAGAUGAGUUGCUCUAUCUGCCUUACACUACUAGAAAAUUAGUUAUUAGUAGUAUUUAUUUAUGCUGCUAAAUGAUCAACAAAUGCUGCUAAAAGUUUUAGCAGCAUAUGACACCAAAUGCUACCUAUGUCAAUGUUACUAAAAGUAUUAAAAGCAUUAAUUAUAAAUGCCGCCAAUAUAAAUCAAUUAGUGUCAUUAGGAAUAUGCCGCUAAAAGGGAUUAAAUGCCAAUUU